RNAcentral lists this long non-coding RNA (48598 nucleotides) under Gossypium barbadense (sea-island cotton). RNAcentral describes it as "long non-coding RNA (GBAR_LNC005764)". The record is from RNAcentral. Lineage: Eukaryota; Viridiplantae; Streptophyta; Magnoliopsida; Malvales; Malvaceae.
GAUAUUUUAAUAGUAUUUCAAUUGAGUUGAUGUUCAAUUAAUUGGUGACAUCAACUCAGCUAAAAUUUAAUAUAAAUAUAGAAAUGGUAAGCAACAAUCUUUUUCCUCUUUUCUUGUAAUUUCCAAAUACUUAAGAGGGUUUGAAUAUGAAAUUAAUCCAUUUUCAACAAUGCAUUAAAUUGAAAAGGGGAAAAAGAAAAGGAAUUGUUAAGGUCGAAUGAAAGGAAAAUGUAUAUGUAAAUGCCUAAAUUUGACCGGGCCCAACAAGCCUAAAUCAGACAAAAGCAAAGCCAAGCAAAAAAUAAAUAAUUAAAUGUCCACAAGUCCAAAUUACAUAACCCAAUUUUAAACCCAAAACAUUACAAACUCAAACCCAAAUUUAAAACCCAAAACCGAAUUAACCCUAGCCCAAUACCCAAUGGCCCAACAAAUAAUAUUAACCUAGACCCAAAAAUAGAGCCCGAUAGGCCCAAUCCUUUAAAAGUUCUUGGAAACCCUAACCCUAACCCCAUUCGCUUGGCGUCGCAGCAGCCUCCAGCACUACCAUCGCUCGUGCCUCGGUACGCCGUACACCUCCACGUACCUGCAAGAAAACAAAAGGGAUAACUCAACAGACAAGAGAACAACAAAUGGAAACAAAAACAGAGGAAUAAAAAAAAGGGGCUAGUAUUUUCAUUUUUGAUUAUUGUUUGGCUAUAAAGCCAAAAAACAUUUUCAUUGUAAUGGACACACGCACACUUCGCAUAUUGUAAUACAGAAAAAGGCUAUCAAAAUCGAAAGGUGAUUUCCGAUUUAAAUCUUCGGGCAUUUUCUUUUUUUUUUUCUUUUUUCGGUUUCAUUCUUUGGUUUUUGUUGAUCUUUUUUUCUAUUCGAAGGCAUGAAUAAAAAGAAAAUGAGGGUUUACCUUUGCGAAAACGCAUUGGGGUCCUCCUUCGUCGAAGUCGAAGCUGAGAUGGGAUCUCAGGGUUGAAAUCGGCCUUGAGUCAUGGCUUAAGCAGAAAUAGGAGGGGCCCUCACACGAUCCACCGAUAAUAAUGGUGGAGUGGUGGUCAAACGGCGGGGAACCGAAUAGGAAGAGGCCUUAGGUUUUUUUUUCUUUCUUCUUUUUUUUUAAAAAAAAUGGUUUAAGUGCUCAAGCUUUUAGGUUUUUUUUUCCUUUUAUAUAUAUCAUAAAACGGCGUCGUUUUAAGCCGUGAAUAUUGGCUUUGAAACGGCAUCGUUUCACUAUGCAAACCCAAUGACCCAACCAGAUGCAAUCAGAUCCGCGUGUUUUGGGUCUUUGAGGGUUAUUUUCUUGAUCAGUCCUUCUUUUUUCGCGCUACCAUUCAAUUACAUGUUAUUUGUUGAUUUCAUUUUUAAUUUAGCCUGGCAAUUUGCACACAUUUGCAAUUGGAUCUGCGCAUCAAUACAGUGUUUUGGGGAUCUGGAAUAUUUCUAGCUUUAGUCCCUAUACAUUUGCACACAUUAUGCGGUGGUUCUCAUUUUAAUUUCAAAAAUUUAUUUCAUUUGUAAAUUAUCCCUCUUGUUUUAAUUUUUUUUAAUUAGGUUUUUUUUUUUAUCUUCAUCUUUAUUCAUUGCACAUUCAUUUUCUUUUUGAUUAUUUGUUUUCAUAUUUUGAGUUGCCUUGAUAACUGAUUUUUUUUUUAAAAGUCACUAUUGUAAUUUUUUUUUCUUUUGUUUUAUCAUAUUAUUUUAACAUUUUGUAUACUAUUAUGUAUAAUUUGAAAUAAAGUUCAUUUUAGUCUAUAUAUACUAUUAAUUUUAUGUUAUUUUAUACAUAUAACUUCUUUUAAACCUAUUCACGUAUUUUAAUAUAUAUUCUUAAAAGGAAAAUCCAUAUACUUUAUGUACUAUUUAAACUAUUAAUAUUCAUAUACUUGGUACACAUAUUUGAUCUAUAUUCAUUAUUAAAUCCAUGUUAUUACAAACAUAUAGUUUUUUUUAAAAAAAAGGGGUCUAUUUGUAUAAAAAAUUAUGUUGUUAAAAUCUAUUAUAUAUAUAAUUUACGAUAAAAUUAAUCUAAUUUUAUAAUUCAUAUUUUAAUUUCAUGUUAUUUUUGCAUAUAAUUGUUUCUAAAUUUACUCACAUGUAUAUAUAUUUAGCUUCAUACUUCACACCUAUACUAUCCUUUCACAUUUUAUGUAUUAUUUAAAUUAUUCUUAUUGUAGAGAUAUUAUCAAUUUUAAAUAAAUGUUUUAUUUUUAAAUAUUUAGCACAUUAUUUGAUCCAAAUGUUUUUGCAACAUCUAUUUUACAAAUUUACAUAUAUAUACCCUUAAUUUUUCUUUUAUAAAUUAUUUCAAGUUCUAGCAUAUGUUAUUUGCUCGUUAGUCCAUCAUUUUUAGAAAUUAUUUUUAUGUCGUGUUGAUUUUACAUUGUUUGGUAUCUCAUGUGUUAAUUAUCUUCAUGAUAUUUCAUGUAUAUUUGCUACAUCUUGUUUGCUCGUUUUUUUGUGUUAUCAAAUCAAUUGUUGUUCACCCAUGCUUGUGAAUUUUGUUAUAUUUUGAGUUAAUUGUCUGUUUGGUUAAUUGGUUAAACAAGGUUAUUUUAUCUUUGUUCACCAAAUAUUGUAUUUUAUGCAUGUAUAUUAUCCCGUGAUAAUUAUUUUUCUUUUGGUUUACAAAAUGUUGCUUUAUGGUUUUCAACUCUUAAAAAUCAAUUAUUUCAUUCUAUUUCAAGUAAAAUUAAUGCGUUUUAAGCUAGUUUUAUAAUUAUCCAUUUAAAAAUUCUCUAAAACGAAGGCGAUGUUCGAUGUUUGACAAUUCGGGGAAUCGUGCCCUAUCGUGCUGGGUUGCAAUUUCUUGUUUGUUCAACAUAAUCGAAUAUUCCUUUGAAAUUUCGCUCAUGUCUUUAAAAAUUAUUUAAAACGAAGGAAAUGUUCGAUGUUUGGAAACUCGGGGAAUCAUGCCCUAUCGUGCUAGGUUGCAAUUUCCCGUUUAUUCAAGAAUAAUUGAAUAUCCCUUUAGAAUUUCACUCAUGUUUUCUAGAUUCUGAAACAAGGCAAUGUUCAAUGUCUAGAAAUUCGAGGAAUUGUGCCCUACUAUGUUGGGUUUCGAUUUUUCUCGUUGGACUAAAUAAUUGGGCAUCCUUCUGUGAUUUUUAACAUAUAAGCUUUUGGAACUCAAAAUUUAUCGUGUUUUCGAGGGUAUAAAGGAUCGUGUCCUAUCGUGCUGGAUGUGAUGCUGUAUUCCUCUGAAACAAGAGAAUUUUGACGACCAACUUGGGCCAUUCAAAUGUUUAUAAAAUGAACCAUAUUUCAAAAAUGUUUUUUAAAUCUUAGACAUAAGGACAGUAUUUAAUCAAUUUGGUACCAAUUUUGGGCGUAGUGAGGGUGCCAAUCAUUCCUCAUGCGUAACCGACUCCCGAACCCGUUUUCUCAUAUUUACGUAGGCCAAAAUUGAUUUAAAUGGAAUAAAAUGCUUUAUUAGGUGAUGCAAUCACACCUAAACAAAAAGGAUUUGUGGCAACUCCAUAUUUCGUUUUCAAAGUCGAUCCACGUUUUUUAAAAUUUGACAAAAAAUGGUUUCAACAGCAUGGCGACUCCACUGGGGAAUUUGAGAGUCGAGCCAUAAAAUUGAUUAAUUUCUGUCCUUUUGUCUAAAAUUGAAAUUUUGAUUUGAUUCUUUGUUGUAUUCAUUUGCAUGAUUGUUGUUAUUCGAGUGUCGUAGUGUACUAUUGCAUUGCGUUGCAUGACCGGUAUGGUCACACCCUCUAAGUGGGAGUGAGAAACUAUGCCUUCGAAAGGUUUUCAUCUCCGCAUGGGCUAGUGAAUUACUUCCGGGAUACAUCCGUACCUAUGAUUUUGUGAGAUUUUCAUCUCCGCAUGGUCAUAGGGAAAUGUAUUCCCCUGAACUGAACUCAAUCCAUAUGAGCCUAUAAUGGGUGAGGAUUGAGGAAUCUGCUAGUUCAGGUACCCUCUCCCUAGAACCGAGCCACAUAUAGUGAACCUUGAGAGUCCACCUUAGGUAAGACCUUGCCCAAAUUUAGUGGUCACCCGAAUAGGUACUUUAUUUGUUAUUUAUUUCUAUACUAACGUGUUUUGUUUUUGUUUGUUUAUGACUGCAUUGCAUUACAUCAUCAUAGAAAGGAGGUGUUGAUUCAUAUUUGAUUGCUAAAUAGAGCAGUUUGUCAUAAGAAAACAAAUUUUUUGAUAAAGUGGAUUACAAUACGGUUGUCUGAAUAUGGUCCAAGUGAACACGACAGAAGAAGGCUAACAGUUCGCGAAGGAAAAUAAGACUUUACCUAAGGAUUCAAGUUGAUAAAGAUUCUUCAAAAGCCGUCGCAUCCCGACUUUCUUAAAGGAGCUAAUCAACAUUGCGAGGAUAGUAAGUCGUGGCCUGGAUCAAGCAAAAAGGAACUAGUAGAGGCAUUUAUUGGAAGCUUGCGAGAUUUGACUUUCACUAAGAAAAGGGAUCAGUGUCUUCGCCUGAAAUAUGAAAGCAAGGCCGUAUACGUAAUCUGUUUUAUGUAAAAGAAUUUGUUUUCUAGAAAAGUUUUUCUAAAGGAAUUGAAUUCAAAAUCAACAUAUUUCUUUCCUUUACAUUCAUCCUAUGCAUUUGCAUUGCAUUGCAUCAUUUGCAUUAGAUUUUCCCAAAAGGACUCUAAUGAGGUAAAAUUAUUUCAGAACCGACAAAGGAUAUGGACCAAAGGUUGGGGAGAAUAGAGCAAAAGCAAAUACAGAUGCAAGAGCAAUUGGUCAAAAUUCAACAAGAUAUGCGAGAACAAAUGCUAGAACUCCAAAGAAAUAUGAUGGGCCAGUUAACCCAGUUACUGGCCGGAGAAUUUGAAAAAAGGAGUGGCCCAGUGGUCAAUAGUGAGGAUGAUAAUGAAGAGAUCAUCUAUUCCCUAGGUUUUACCCCAAUAAGUGUCCUGACCCAACCAAACAUGCAAGGGGUACUCGUCAUUAUCGGACCCCAAUAUCAGGCCGAUACCUCGACACUGUUAAACUUUCGAUGGGUUCAAGUUUUAAUCCAAAAGAUGAUCAAGCCAAACCGGUUGUUUUGGCAUAAACGAAAGAAAUGAGAGAGUGGACUUUAAAGGCCCCAAAAAAGAAGGAGAAGAAAGAAAAUAGUACGAGUGGGUAUAACAAGGGUCGUUCAGAGCCGAUUAUAGUAAGCCAGCCAAGGACGGUAACUACUAGCCGUCAAGUCUCCCCAAGGUAAGAACCCAAUUGAGGAUCGAAUUUAGAAAAACCCCAAUUCACGCCCAUCCCAAUCACGUAUAGGGAGUUGUACCACAUUCUUUUCGACGCACAUGUUGUGUCCCCUUUUUACAUAGAACCAAUACAGCCUCCAUACCUUAAAUGGUACGAUGCAAGCGGCCAAUGUGAAUACCAUGCGAGAAUCACGGAGCAUGCCAUCGAGAACUAUACCGCUUUUAAAAAGCUAGUCGAAAGAUUUAUCAAAUUGGGUAUCAUGAAAUUCGAUGAUCCCUCUGGAGCAGGAAAUCUGUUAUCCAACCUUUCUGUUAAAGGGGUGGACAUUAUGAGUUCCAUGAUGGAUAGGGGCACGAGACCCAAAAGUGCAUCGAGCUCAGAACUCUAGUGUAAGACCUGGUAUUGGGGAAUCCGAACAUUAACGACGUAACAGAAGAGAGAACCCGGGAAUAGAAUUUUUUUGAGCAUCUGCCCUUUACAUACUUGGGAUUGUUUUGAACAAUGGGACUGUGAAAGAGAUCCUUGCAUUUUUAGAGCUAAUCUAGAGUAAUAUUCAAAACACACUUGUUGUUUUAAGCCUAAAAGCAACAAGAAUCCUUGUGUGAAAUAGGCUUAUAUCCAAAAUCUUUAUUUCAAUGAAAUGCAUGUUCGUUAUCAUUUUGAGUAAAUAUUCUUUUAUUCUUUCCAUGUCAUACCGUGCAAACAAUUAUUCUUAAAUUCUUUUAUUUUUUGGACAUUCUUUCAAAUAUUUUUCAUUCAUUAUCAUACCAUACAAAUAAUCAUCCUUAGAAUUAUCUAUUCUUUGAAAACUACCUUUGUACCUACAACAGGUCUCCAGAUAUCAAUGACGGGAGCGACGCUGUCACUGACUCCGAGUCUCUUUUUGAGUAAGAUAUGUCUCUUUUAGAGCUUGAGCAGUUAGAAUUAAAAACUGUAUUUUUGCAUGGAGAACUUGAAGAGGAUAUUUACAUGCAACAACCAGGGGGUUUUACAGUCUCAAAAAAAGAGGACUAUGUUUGCUUGCUGAAAAAAUCCCUUUACGGUUUGAAACAGUCACCAAGACAGUGGUAAAAGAGGUUUGAUUCCUUUAUGACUUUUCAUGAUUUUAAAAGAAGUAGUUUUGACAGUUGUGUUUACUUUAAGAAAAACAGUGAUGGUUCUUUUUUGUAUCUACUUCUUUAUGUUGAUGACAUGUUGAUAGCAGCAAAAGAUAAAGGAGAGAUAAGAAAAGUCAAAGCCCAACUAAGUGAAGAAUUUGAGAUGAAAGAUUUGGGACCAGCAAAGAAGAUACUUGGUAUGGAGAUUCUUAGAUAUUGAAAAGUAAGUAAAUUGUACCUAAGUCAGAAGGGAUACAUUGAGAAAGUUCUUUGCAGGUUCAAUAUGCAGAGUGCUAAACCUGUUAGUACUCCUUUAGUAGCCCAUUUCAGACUUUCAUCACCUUUGUCUCCACAAUCAGAUGAUGAGAUUGAGUACAUGUCACAUGUUCCAUACUCUAGUGCAGUGGGAUCUCUCAUGUAUGCUAUGGUUUGCUCAUGUCCAGAUUUAUCAUAUGCAGUUAGUGCAGUUAGCAGAUAUAUGGUGAAUCCCGGUAAAGAAUAUUAGAAAGUAGUUCAGUGAAUUUUAAGAUAUUUACGAGGUACUAUUGAUGUUUGCUUACAGUUUGCAAGAACUAGAGAUGGAGUAAUUGGGUAUGUUGAUGCUAAUUUUGCUGGAGACCUUGAUAGAAAAAGAUCUCUCACAGGUUAUGUCUUUACAAUCGGAGGUUGUGCAAUUAGUUGGAAAGCCACUUUGCAAACUACAGUCGCUUUGUCUACCAUUGAAGCUGAGUACAUGGCGAUUACUGAGGCUUGUAAAGAAGCUAUUUGGUUGAAAGGACUCUUUAGUGAACUCAAUGAAGACCUUCAAAUUACUACAGUAUUUUGUGACAGUCAAAGUGCCAUCUUUCUUACAAAAGAUCAAAUGUUUCAUGAGAGAACAAAACAUAUUGAUGUUCAGUGUCAUUUUGUUCGUGAUAUUAUUACUCGUGGUGAUAUUGUUGUGAGCAAAAUUAGUACUCAUGGAAAUCCUACAGAUAUGAUGAGUAAGUUACUUCCUAUAACCAAGUUUGAGCAUUGCUUAGAAUUGGUUGGUGUUCAUUGUUGAAGUUAAACCCUUAAGGGGUUUUAUGGAAGAGGUGGAGAACUUGUUCGUUGAAAGUUCACGAUGAAGAACUUGUUCAUUAAGAAUUCGUGUCAAGGUGGACAUUGUUAGAAUUAAGUGACCUGAAUCCUUAUUUAAAUAAAAUACAGUGGUAAAAUAAAUAAAAGAAGAAUCCAUAUAGAAUUACACUUCUUUUAAUCUCUAUGUCUGUACCGAAAUCGCAAUUCGGUGAUAGAGUUUAGAGCAAGCUUAAGCAAGAUAGAAGAGAUGAAAGGGAAGAUAGAAGAAUUAGAGGUGGCAUUGCAGAGUUGUAAAAUGAGGAUCGAGUUCUUGGAGGCAAAUGAAGAUCAAUGGAAAGGACAGCUUCAUCACUCUCAAAAUCAAGUUAGAAGUAGGGAUUACAUUAUGGGAGAGGCCGUAACACAAAUUCGAGAAGUAGCUGAUUACUUGCAGACUUUGGCGGUACAAGCAGACAUAUUAAGUGUGAAGUAUGAGUUGGAGUCAGAUAAGGGGCAAGAGCUAGCUUCGUUGCUUAAGAAAAUUAAAGUUCUGAGUAUUAGGGCGAAAUCUUAUUUGUAACUCGGUUUUAUGUAAAGAAUUUUGUUUUCUAAUAAAGUUUUCUAAAUGGAAUUGAAUCAGAAUUGAUGCCUCAUUUGCAUUCAUGCAUUUGCAUUAUAAUACAUCAUAUGCAUUAAAAGCCAUUAAAAGAUUCUAAUUAAUUAAAAAUCAUUUCAAUAAUCUAGAAACCAACAAAAAUGCACCAAAUAUGCAUCCCUACGGUACAAGGAAAAAGACCAAGUUAAUAGACAAAAGACUUGAAAAGUUAGAGCAAAUGCAAAGGGAUAUGCAAGAACAAAUGCAAUCACAGAUGCAAGAGCAGUUAGUUAAGAUUCAGCAAGAGAUGAAGGAUCAAAUGAUGGAGUCCCAAAGAGAUAUGAUGAAUCAAUUGUCCCAAUUGCUGGUAGAAAGGAUGGAUAAGGGGAAAGGUCUUAUGGAUAAUGUUGAGGAAAAUAAUGAAGACCCUCAAUAUCCUCCUGGUUUACUUCAACACAUGUACAGACACAACCUGAGAUUAAUCUGCAGAAACCAUCUGUUACGAUCAGGCCUCAACAGUUUCAGGUCGGAGUUUCAAUACCAUUGAAUUUCCAGGCUAGUUCAGGUUUUAAUCCUAGUAAUAACUCAAAUAAUUCAAUGGUGCCUGAUUUGGAUGAAGUUGUAAAAGAGGAAAGGGCAAGGACAGAAUCACAGAAACAAUUGGAGGUGCGGUGUAAAUGACUGGAGGAAAGGGUCAGGGCAAUGGAAGAUGUUGAUAGACAUCCUGGAAUUGAUGCAAAGGAUCUGAGUUUGGUUCCAGACUUAGUACUUCCAUACAAGUUCAAGAUGCCAGAAUUUGAGAAGUACAAUGGAACGAGCUGUCUUGAAGCUCAUAUUACUAUGUUUUGCAAAAGAAUGACUAGGUAUGUUAAUAAUAAUCAAUUGUUGAUUCAUUGCUUCCAAGACAGUUUGGUGGGAGUAGCAGCUAAAUGGUAUAAUCAGUUGAGUCGAAACAGAAUUAGUUCAUGGAGAGAUUUGGUACAAGCAUUCAUGAAACAAUACAGCCAUGUAACAGAUAUAACUCCUGACAGAAUUACUCUGCAGAAUAUGGAAAAGAAAUCAAACGAAAGUUUCAAGCAAUAUGCACAGAGACAGAGGGAAGUGGCCAUCCAGGUUCAGCCACCACUCUUGGAGAAGGAAACUACAAUGCUUUUUAUUAAUACUUUAAAAGCUCCAUUCAUAACUCACAUGUUAGGAAGUGCCACAAGGAGUUUUGUAGAUGUAGUAAUGACUGGAUAAAUGAUUGAGAAUGCAAUAAGAAAUGGAAGGAUAGAUGAAGGAGAAAAUGCCAAAAGGUCUGCCUCGUAGAAAAAGGAAAAUAAGGUGAAUAAUGAAAACAUAGGGUAUUCAAAGUCUGUUACUGUAAGUCAACCAAAGGCGAUAACUGCUGGUCAGGGUUCAUCAAGGCAGGAAUCUGGAGCAAAGCAAAAUAAUGAGAAACUUCAAUUUACUCCAAUCCCCAUGACGUAUAAAGAAUUAUAUCAAAGUUUGUUUGAUACACAUGUGGUGGCACCUUUUUAUCUAAAGCCAUUACAGCCUCCAUUCCCUAAAUAGUACGAUGCCAAUACUCAAUGUGAGUAUCAUACGGAGAUCGUAGGACAUUCGAUAGAAAAUUGCAAUACUUUUAAGAAGCUAGUUGAGAGAUUUAUUUAGAUAGGCAUUGUGAAGUUUGAUAAUGCGCCCAGUGCAGAAAAUCCGUUACGUAAUCAUACUGAUAGUGGGUAAACGUGAUAGAUGGAGGUAUGGGAAAAAGAGUCAAGACGGAUAUUACAGAAGUAAAAACUCCUUUGAAAUGGGUUUGGAAGGAGAUGGCAAAAGGAGGGUUAGUUGCUUCGAGUUCAGAAGGAAGUUGGAAUGAGAUAGAGAAUUACUGUGAGUUUCAUCAUGAAAAAGGGCAUAGAAUUCAGGAAUGUGAAGAGUUUAGAGUUGCUAUCCAGGGCUUGAUGGACAACAAGGAAAUAGAAUUUUAUGAAGAGGUUAAGAAAGAGGAGUAUAUAUGCGCGUCAGAAUCCACGUCGAGUGUCUCAAAAGUUAAUUAUCCCGUGGUUAUCAUUUCAUAUCCUAAAAAUGAAGCAGGAAUUCAGAUGACACCGAAUAUCAUAAUUCAAAAACCAUCGAUUUUCUCUUACAAUGAUAACAAAAGGGUCCCUUGGAACUAUGAUUGUAAUAUGAUAGUCCUGAGAAAGGAGAGUUCAGUCAGCUUGUUAAAGGAGGAUCAAAACAUAAGUUAUCACACGCAUAGUGGAAAAUGAUAUAAUUUGAUAAAUGCCUGAAUAGAGCCUGUAAAAGGAAAAGAUUUGAUGGUUGAACAAAAUAGAAGAAAAGUGGUCGAACCUGGGGUGCCUAUUAAUGAACCAGUGAAAGAAGAAGAAGCUAAGGAAUUCCUGAAAUUUCUGAAGCAAAGUGAGUACAAUGUGGUGGAACAGUUGUAUAAACAGCCAGCCCACAUAUCCAUAUUAGCUUUGCUCCUAAGCUCAGAGGUACACCGAAGAGCAUUAAUGAAAGUGCUGAACGAGACGUACGUGACCAAUGAUAUUUCUGUCAACAAGUUGGAUCGGUUGGUUAAUAACAUAAGUGUAGACAACUUCAUCUUUUUCAAUGAUGAUGAGAUACCACCAAGAGGUAUGGGAUCUACCAAAGCUUUGCAUAUAACCACUAGAUGUAAAGGAUAUACAUUGCCAGGGGUUCUGGUUGACAAUGGGUCGACAUUGAACGUGUUGCCCUUGUCCAUGUUAAACAAGCUACCUGUGGAUAGCUCACACAUGAAGGGGUGUCAGAAUAUAGUGCGAGCAUUUGAUGGCACGGAAAGGAGAGUCAUAGAGAGAAUAGAAAUACCUUUGUUGAUUGACCUAACUACAUAUGAGGUAGAUUUCUUGGUGAUGGAUAUUAAGCCCUCUUACAACUGCCUGUUAAGGAGACAUUGGAUACAUUCGGCAGGGGCAGUGCUUUCGUCAUUACAUCAGAAGUUAAAGCUAAUAUCAAAAGGACUGUUGGUAACGAUAAAUGCUGAAGAAGAUAUUAUUGCGGCUGUGAGCAGUGAUGCGUCAUAUUUAGAAAUAGACGAGAAAGCUAUUGAAUGUUCUUUUCGGUCUUUGGAGUUUGUAAAUGCAACAUUCAGCACUGAGGGAAGUAGAAUUCUGGAGCCGAAAAUAUCCAAAACUACGAUGAUGGGUUUACAGUUGACGGUAAAAAAGGGGCUUUACCAGGAAAGGGAUUGGGGAGAUGUCUUCAGGGAAGAGUUGAGGUUCUGAUGUUGAAAGACAAGUAUGAUCGCUUUGGUUUAGGGUUCAAGCCAGAUGCAAAUCAAAGGAAAAGGGAAUUGAAAAAAAGGCAGGAAAGAAGAAGAGCACGUGUUAGUGGUGGAUAAAUUCAGUGGGAACCCAUGAUAAUCCCUCACAUCUCCACGACUUUUGUAUCAGGAGGAAUUAUUUAUCCUGAACAAGGAAUGCCAGAGAAAAAAAUAUGGAAGGAGAUUGGGAAAUGUACACAUCAAUGCCAUAUUUGAAGAAGCAAUUGAAAAGGGUAUUUCGUCAAAUAUUCGUCCAUAUGAGCCUGGGAGUGUUCUAGACAAUUGGACUGCAGAAGACCUUCCUGUAGUUUUAAACCUAGAGGCAAUAAGGAUUUCUCUGUGAAAUAGGCUCAUGUUCAAACAUCAUUAUUUCAAUUAAGUACAUUUUUUGCUAUCAUUUUGAGCAAACAUUCUUUUAUUCUUUUCACAAGCAAUUGUGUUAUUCCAUUUAAAUAAUUAUCUUGAUUCUUUUUUGGACUUUCUUCAAUCAUUCUUUUAUUUCAUUUAUAAACAUACCAUACAAACAAUAAUUAUCAAAUUCAUUCAUUCUUUGUAUAUUUUUUUGUACCUAUAAUAGGUCCCUGGAUAUCAAUAUCAUAAGUGACGUUGUUACUGACUCAGAAUCACUAUUUGAGCAAGACAUGUAUUUAGAGGGAUCUUAGGAAUUUGAAGAUGACAGAGACUGUGAUUGAUUUUUGGACUUGUUAAGGAUGGUAGAGCAAGAGGAAAAGAAAAUUUCACCUCAUAAAGAAGUAGUGGACAUGGUAACUUUAAAAGAGGGGAAAGUUGUAAAAAUUAGAACAUGCAUAAUUGAAGAAACAAAGCAAGACCUUGUUGAGUUGCUUCAGGAAGUUAAAGAUGUUUUUGCAUGGUCGUACCAGGAUAUGCUCAGUUAAAGCACUGAUAUUGUAGUACAUCGCUUUCCUAUAAAAUAAGAUUGCAAGCUAGUGCAGCAGAAACUUUAAAGAAUAAGGCCAGAUAUUGUCUUAAAGAUAAAGGAGGAAGUCAAAAAGCAAUUUGAUGCUGGAUUCCUUCAAGUGAUCAAGUAUUCAAAAUGGGUAGCCAACAUUGUGCCUAUUCCUAAGAAGGACGGUAAGGUGCGAAUGUGUGUGGAUUAUAGAUAUUUAAAUAAGGCUAGCCCAAAGGACCAUUUCCCCUUGCCUCACAUUGAUACGCUAGUGGACAAUACGACUAGCUACUCGUUGUUUUCCUUCACGGAUAGCUUUUCGGGGUAUAAUCAGAUCAAGAUGCAUCCUGAGAACAUGGGAAAGACUACUUUCAUAACUUUAUAGGGCACAUUCUAUUAUAAGGUGAUACCGUUUAGACUGAAGAAUGCUAGAGCAACAUAUCAAAAGGAAAUGGUGACCUUAUUUCAUGAUAUGAUGCACAAAGAGAUCGAAUUUUAUGUUGAUGAUAUGAUAGCCAAAUCUCGAACUGAAAUGAAGUACAUUCGAGUGUUGAGAAAGUUGUUCAUGAGAUUAAGAAAAUUUCAGCUAAAACUUAAUUCAACCAAGUGUACCUUUGGGGCUAGAUCAGGAAAGCUAUUGAGCUUUGUAGUCAGUGAGAGAAGAAUUGAGAUUGAUUCAAACAAAGUUUUGGCUAUACAAGAGUUGCCUCCACCACACACUCAAAAAGAAGUUCGAGGCUUCCUAUUUCUCAAUUAACAGAGAAAUGUGACCCCAUAUUUCGCCUUUUUAAAAAGCAUAACCCAGGAGAAUGGGAUAAUGAAUGCCAGAGAGCUUUUGAUAAAGUUAAAAAAUAUUUGUCGAGUCCUCUAGUGUUAUCACCUCCAAGCUCAGACAUGCCAUUGAUACUGUAUUUAACCGUGUUUGGUAAUUCUAUGGGAUGUAUGCUUGGGCAACAUGAUGAAUCAGGAACAAAAGAAAUGGUGAUAUAUUACCUCAGUAAAAAAUUCACUGAGCGUGAAUUGAGAUAUUCGCCAAUUGAAAAUUUGUGUUGUGCCUUGGUCUGGACAGCUCGGAGGUUGAGGCAAUACAUGUUGUACCAUAUGACUUGGUUAAUCUCAAAGUUAGAUCCUCUAAAGUAUAUGAUAGAGUCAAAUUCCUUGAAUAGAAGAAUGGCUAGAUGGCAAAUUUUGCUUUCUGAAUUUGACAUAAUCUAUGUGAGUCAAAAAUCUGUAAAGGGAGUGAAAUAGCAGAUUUUUUGGCCAGCCGAGCUUUAGAAGAUUAUGAACCCUUGAAUUUUGAUUUCCCCAAUGAGGAGAUAGUUUAUGUGGCAACUACUGAAGAGGACACUACAAAAGAUCACUCUUGGAAAUUGAAUUUUAAUGGAGCCUCAAACGCUGUGGGUAAUGGAAUUGGAGUAGUCUUGGAAUCUCUAGGUGGAGAUCAUUAUCCAUUCACAUGAAAUUUGGAUUUUGAUUGCACAAAUAAUAUGGCAGAGUAUGAUGCAUGUAUCAUGGGACUCCGAGCAGCUAUAGAACGCAAAAUCAAGUCACUGGAAGUAUAUGGAGACUCUGCACUGGUGAUUUACCAACUUCGAGGUGAAUGUGAGACAAGAGAUUCCAAAUUAAUCAAUUAUAGAAAGUUGGUGUUAUGGUUGGUUGAAGAGUUUGAUGAUAUUACUUUCAAUUAUCUCCUGUGUGAUGAAAACCAAAUAGUAGAUGCUUUGGCUUCCAUGAUCCAAGUGAGCAGACAAGAAGAUGUGAAACCCAUUCAGAUGAGUAUUUGUGAGGCCCCUUCUUAUUGUUAUAAUAUAGAGGAAGAAGAGAAAGAUGAUCACCCUUGGUAUAAGGAUAUACUGAGGUAUGUGAGAAAUCAUGAAUAUCCGGAUCAAGCAACGAAGAAUGACAAAAGGACAUUAGGAAGACUAGCAUGUGAUUAUGUCUUAGAUUGAGAGAUCCUAUACAAAAUAAAAGAUCAAGUACUAUUGAGGUGUGUGGAUGCUGUAGAGGCCAAGAAAAUUUUGGAAGAGGUUCACGAACGCGUUUGUAGAAUACAUGCUAAUGGGUUCACGAUGGCUAGAAAUUAUGAGGUUUGGAUAUUAUUGGUCAACUAUGGAAGGAUACUGCAUCAAUUAUUCUAAGAGAUGUCACAAAUGUCAAAUUUAUGGUGAUAAGAUUCAUGUACCUCCCUCGCCUUUGCAUGUUAUGACUUCUCCAUGGCCGUUUUCCAUGUGGGGUAUGGAUGUCAUAGGGUCAAUUUCACCAAAGGCUUCAAAUGGGCAUCGUUUCAUCUUUGUGGUCAUUGAUUAUUUUACUAAGUAGGUGGAAGCUGCUUCAUAUGCCAAUGUAACUAAAUCGGCAGUCAGCAAAUUUUUAAAGAAGGAAAUUAUAUGUCGUUAUGGGAUGCCAGAAAGGAUCAUAUCUGAUAAUGUAUUAAAUUUGAACAAUAGCACAAUAGCAGAGGUCUGCAGUCAGUUUAAGGUCAGACACCAUAAUUCAUCACCAUAUCGCCCAAAAAUGAAUGGGGCAGUGGAAGCAGCCAAUAAAAAUAUCAAGAAGAUUGUGGGAAAAUGACCGAAACUUAUAGAGAUUGGCAUGAGAAGUUGUCAUUUGCUCUCCAUGCUUAUCGAACAUCUGUCAGAACUUCUACUAGGGCAAUGCCUUUUUCAUUAGUUUAUGGAAUGGAAGCUGUUCUACCCAUUGAGGUGGAGAUACUUUCUCUCCGAGUUUUGUCAGAAUUGAAGUUAGAUGAAGCCGAAUGGAUACAAUCUCGAUAUGAUCAGUUGAAUUUGAUUGAAGAAAAUAGGCUAAGGGCUAUUCAGCAUGGUCAGAUGUAUCAAAAAAGAAUGAUGCGAGCUUAUGACAAAAAGGUUCGCCCAAAAAAGUUUCAUGAGGGAGAUUUGGUUUUGAAAAAGAUCCUUCCCAUACAAAAGAAUUUCAGAGGAAAAUGGAUGCCAAAUUGGGAGGGGCCUUAUGUGGUGAAGAAAGCUUUCUCUAGAGGAGCAUUAAUCCUAGCUGAAAUAGAUGGAAAAAAACUUGUCUAAUCCAGUGAACUCGAAUUCAGUCAAAAAGUACUACACUUAAUGAAGGGAAGAAGACAAAGUGAAAACCCACAAAGAACGCUUUGGGAUUUUCUUUAAAAAAUAAAAGGGCCAAAGUGAAAACCCGCAAAGGGCGCUUUGAGACUCAAUAAAAAAUAAAAUUCAAAAAAAAAAGAGAGGCCAAGGUGAAAAUCCGCAAAGGGCGACUUGAGACCAAAGAGGAUUUAAGUUGAAAACCCGAAAAGGGCGGCUCAGAUGUUGAUCUAAAAUGGGAAAGGCGAUGAUCUUGCUAUACUUGAAUUAACAAGGAAAGAGUAUGUUGCAUCUUGGGCCAUUGACAGAGUACUGCUGAUCUCCUAAACACAUGUCAAGUUUAAGUUGGUCUUCAAGAAGUUCGUACGGAGAAACUCAGUUUGCGAUAUCAAGAGGACCUAGUCUUUAUUUUAUUUCCAAUAAAUUGGCUAUCUUUGAAUUAGUCUUUCUUUUUCAAGAUAUACAUUCCAAUAUCAAUUGCCAUUUUUGUUCUUUUGAUGAUGUAUUCACUUUAAGCUCAAAUUCAAUUUCAUUCUUAUCCAUUAUUACGAUUUGAUUGCAAGCAUGUUGCAUUGAAAUAAUGAUGAAUAAACUAGUAAUGUUUACACAAUAGAAGUUUCACAUAUUACUUUAGGAGUUUCUAAAUAAUGCAAGAAUCUGAACUAGGACUAUUGUUUAGAAUGCACCAAAGUUCAAGGACAUACUUGAAUAAAUCACCUCUUUGGAUUUUUGUCCAAAUGAUGAUUGAACAAAAUGACAAGAUAGGGCGUUGGUGAUAUAAUUUUGGAAAAAUGAUCAAUAUAAAAAGGAAUUAUUCUCAAAAAAAGGGAAAUGAUAUUUUGUAUCUAUACAAAUAUCAAACAAGCGCAUCUGGAUAUGACACCCGAGGAGUGAGGAAACAGAUCGAACAAAGGAAAAUUCAACUAGGAGUUGCAAUAAUUUUGUCUCAGAAAGAAUAAUGGAAGGGACGUUGGAAUUACAGUGGGGCAAGCUUGUUGAGCAAAAUAUGAUUUUUACUUUGGGAUACUCUGUCGAGAUGAUGGUUGAGAGAAUACGUCAGUGACAGCAUGCUAACGAACAACGAGUGAUGAUACCUUAAAUUUUAAAAUGGAAUCAUUCUCAUUUCUGCAUAUAUCAUUUAUAUUAGUUAGGAGCAUUGGAUUCAUUUCAAUCAUAGCAUCCUAAUCAUUUGGCAUAAACAUGCGCAUAUAAAAUCGAGUCUACAGGACAUAUUUCCCAGAGGACAGUGUAGUGACAUUGGUGAAGUCAGAUCUUAUCUCCCUGAAGUGGCAGUGGAGCAGGUUCAAAAUGUGGUCUUAUCUUCCUCAGGUAGAAAUGAAGCAGACUGAAGAUUGAAGAUCUUAUCUCCCUAAGCAGUAGUGGAGCAGAUCGAAAGAGGCGAAUCUUAUCUCCAUGUAUCGGCAAGGGAGUAAAUUUUAGCCACCAGCCUUAUCUCUCUGAGGUAGCAAGAGAGCAGGUUGAAGAUGGUGGUCUUAUCUUCUUGAGGUAGUAAGGAAGCAGACUGAAAAUUGAAGAUCUUAUCUCCCUAAGCAGUAGUGGAGCAGAUCGAAAGAGGUGAAUCUUAUCUCCAUGUAUCUGCAAUGGAGCAGAUUUUAGCCACUAGCCUUAUCUCUCUGAGGUAGCAAGAGAGCAAGUUGAAGAUAGUGGUCUUAUCUUCCUGAGGUAGCAAUGAAGCAGACUGAUGAUUGAAGAUCUUAUCUUCCUAAGCAUUAGUGGAACAGAUUGGAAGAGGUAGAUCUUAUCUCCAUGUACUGGCAAUGGAGCAGAUUUAAGCCCCAAGCCUUAUCUCUUUGAGGUAGUAAGAGAACAGGUUGAAGAUUGAGUCUUAUCUUCCUAAGGUAGCAAGGAAGCAGACUGAAGAUUGAAGAUCUUAUCUCCCUAAGUAGUAGUGGAGCAAAUCGGAAGAGGCGGAUCUUAUCUCCAUGUAUCAGCAAUGGAGCUGAUUUAAGCCCCAAGCCUUAUCUCUCUAAGGUAGCAAGAGAGCUGGUUGAAGAUUGAGUCUUAUCUUCCUGAGGUAGCAAGAUCGAAAAUGGUGAAUCUUAUCUCUAUGUAUCGGUAAUGGAGCAGAUUUAAGCCACCAGCGUUAUCUCUCUAAAGUAGCAAGAGAGUAGGUUUUCGAUUGUAGUCUUAUCUUCCUGAAGUAGCAAGGAAGCAGAUUGAUGAUUGUAGAUCUUAUCUCCCUAAGGUGGUAGUGGAGCAGAUCAAAGACGAUGAAUUCUCCUGGAGUAUACCCCUGAAGACAGUAGGAUCGAAUGGGGCAGUUUGCAGAAAAGGGAGAGCCAAGAAGUCAGGAUUCAGUAAGACUGGGCAAAAUGGUCCUUUUGAAGUCUUUGCUCUAUCAAGAUUCAGUAAGACUGGGCAAAAUGGUCCUUUUGAAGUCUUUGCUCUAUUCUCGCUACACGACAAUGAGAAAAAAGGGGCAGUUGUAAUAGGCCCAUUUCGCCUUGGUCUAUAAAAAACCAAAAAACCAAAAAUAAAAAAAUAAAUAAUAAAAUCAAACAGAAAUAAAUAAACCAAAUUAUUUAUUGGCCCAAUGUCCAUUUACAAGAUUUCGAGUCUAAAUUAAAUUAAACCCAAACCCAUUAAUCAAAACAUAACCCAAUUACAUAAAAUGGCCCAAAAACUACACCUAAAACCCCUAGCCCGAUUCACAAUGGCCCAAACCGAGACCCAAAAAGACCCAAAGAAGCUCAGCAGCCUGAGAACACCAGAAACUUCUAGAAUACGCUAGAACAGUGCCAGAGGGUCGGGCUCCCACGAGCGGUUUCCCACACAUGGUUUCCACGUCACUAGGGUCUCCUUCUCUGUACACCACACCUGCAAUAGAACACACGAGAAGAAGCAGUAUAACGGAAUACAAGCAAAAAAGAAAAGAAAAUUGAUUUUCUUUCAUUUUUUCCUUUGGCUAUAAAAAGCCAUUACCUGUACCUUGUAAAACUUAAGCAUACUGAAUAAGAAAAAAGGCACUUCAAAAGUAAAUUAGAAAAGGUGAUUUUUGGCUUUUCCCUCGAUUUGGUUCUCAUUUUUUCCUUUCUUCGUGAUUUUUGUUUACUGUAUAAAUAAAAAAAAGAAGAGACUUAUCUGUGUUUUGACGCCUUAGAAUUCUCGCUUGUUUCGUCACAAUCAAAACUAAGUAACGAUUUUAGGGGCUUGUGAGCAAAACUCAUGGACUCAUGGUUCAAUGAAGCCUUGAUUGACCAUUGCAUGAGUCGAGAGGAAAGGCAGGAGGGCGGUUGAAUGAAGGAUUUUCGGUCAGCCGAACAUUGGAGAGAAAAACUCUGUUAUUUUCUUCUUUUUAAAAAUGGCUAAAUGUGUCAUUUAGGGUUUGCUCUUGCUAUUAUAGGGAGCGGUAGGCGACAUCGUUUUAGGCCAACAUCAAUGGCCUCAAAAUGACACCAUUUAAAGAGCCUGACACGAUCCAAUCCUUUGCCCUUAGGAUCCGCGUAUUUUUGCAGAGAGGGGAUAAUUGCGCGCCAAGUUCUCCCCUUUCGCACGGGAAUUCAAUUGCGCCCUAUUUGUUUUACUUCGUUUACAAAUUUAGUUCUGUAAUUUGCGCAUAUUAGCAAUUUGGUCUGCGCCCCAAAACAGCAUUUUGGUAUCUGAAUUAUUUCCAGUUCUAGUCCCUGUGCAUUUACAAGCAUUGCGUGUUGAUCCUCAUUUUAAUUUCAAAAGUUUAUUUUAUUUAUAAAUUAUUCCUUUCAUUUUAAUUUUAUUUUAAUUGAGUUUUUUCCCUUUUUCAUCAUUUUUUUAAAAGAUCCAUCUCAUAUUCAUUUUUUUUUUAAUUCUUGUUUACUUAUUCUUAUAUUUUGAGCUACUUUGAUAACUGUUAGAAUUAAGUGACCCGAAUCCUUAUUUAAAUAAAAUACAGUGGCAAAAUAAAUAAAAGAAGAAUCCAUAUAGAAUUACACUUUUUUUAUUCUAUUUUAGAAUAAGGUUUUUUAAACCUUAUUAAAUUUCAUCUAUUUGAUAUUGAUUAGAAUAAGGUGUUUUAGUCUUACUAGAAUAUGGCUUUACAAGCCUAUAAAUAGACAUAGUCCAUUUCUCUUGUAAUGAUUCGAAUUCGACAUAGUGAAUUUCUUCUCAUCUGCCCGUGGUUUUUUCCCGAAAGGGUUUCCACGUAAAAAUCUUUGUGUUCUUUAGUUUAUUUUUAUUUUUUUCACAAAUUGGUAAGACCUUCCGGGUUAUUCAUCUCGAUCACAGUAAUGACAUCUUUGAAGUAUGAAAUUUCGCUGUUCGAUCGCAACACCAAAUUUACGUUGUGGCAGAUUAAGAUGCAAGUAGUUCUUGCGCAGAUGGAUCUGGAGGAUGCCCUGCUAGGGAUAGAUAAGAUGGCUUCGACAUUAAAAAAUGAAGAGAAGAAGCGUAAGGAUCGAAAGACGUUAACACAAUUACAUCUGCAUUUGUCCAAUGAAAUUCUGCAGGAUGUGAUGAAAGAGAAGACUGUCGUUGCAUUAUGGAAGAGGCUAGAACAAAUAUGUAUGUCGAAAACUCUAACAAGCAAGUUGAUGAGGUUUAUGAUUCUUUAACCUCGUAUGAUAAGAUGAAGCAUCUUGUGGUUAAACUAGAUUCUUAGGGAGAGGGUCUCAUUGUUCGUGGGAGACAAGAUCAGAAUGCUGAUGAUGAUCGUGGUAGGAAACAGGAACGGAAUCCCCGUGGUAAAUCUAAAGGUAGAUCAAAGUCUUCAAAUAGAGGUAAAACUUGUUACUUUUGUAAGAAGAAGUGGUACUUUAAAUUUGAGUGCUAUAAGCUACAGAAUAAGAUUAAAAGCGAGGCUGCAAAUCAAAAGGGAAAACAACCAGAAAAUUUUGGUUAAGUUGAUGUUGUAGAAGACUACAGCAAUGGUGAACUUCUAGUUGCUUCUGUCAAUGAUUCUAAAGUAAGCGGUGAGUGGAUACUUGAUUCAGGCUGCACUUUCUACAUGAGUCCUAAUCGGGAUUGGUUUACAACUUACAAAACAGUGUCUGAAGGUGUUUUUUUUAUAGGAAAUAAUGCUUCAUGUAAAAUCGUAUGUGUUGGAACAAUUAAAGUUAAGAUGUUUGAUGGAGUUGCCAGAACACUUAGUGAUGUACGACAUGUUCCAGAAUUGAAAAGAAAUUUAAUUUCUUUGAGUACUCUUGAUUCAAAAAGGUACAGAUACACAGCAAAAAGUGGGGUUUUAAAGAUUUCCAAAGGUUCCCUUGUUGUGAUGAAAGGGCAGAGAAAGGCUGCCAAGUUAUAUGUUUUGCAGGGUUCUACUGUUACUAGUGAUGCAACUUUCGCUUCUUCUUCCUUAUCAGAUGAUGAUAUUACUAAAAUUUGGCAUAUGCGCGUAGGGCAUAUGAGUGAGAAUGGCAUGGCAGAAUUGAGCAAAAUCGGACUUCUUGAUGGGCAAAGAAUUUGCAAACUAAAUUUUUGUGAGCACUAUGUUUUUGGGAAGCAAAAGAGAGUUUGAUUCACCAAAGGAAUCCAUAACACGAAGGGAAGGUUGGAGUAUAUUCAUUCUGAUCUGUAGGGGCCAUCUAGAGUGCCUUUGACAGGUGGAGCUAAUUAUAAGCUAACCUUUAUUGAUGAUUUUUUCAGAAAAGUUUGGGCGUUCUUCCUGAAGUAAAAAAGCGAUGUGUUUUCUGCAUUUAAGCCUUGAAAAAUUAUGAUUGAAAAACAGAUGAGAAAACAAAUAAAAUACCUCCGCACAGACAAUGGCUUAUAGUUCUGUUCUAAUGAGUUUAAUAGAUUGUGCAAGUCAGAAUGGAUCGUGAGACACUUGACAGUUCACCAUACUCUAUAGUAAAAUGGCGUUGUAGAACGAAUGAACAGAACGAUCAUGGAGAAGGUUCAAUGUAUGUAGUCAAAUGCCAACUUACCAAAGUCGUUUUAGGCAGAAACAGCCUUUACUGCAUGUUUUUUGAUCAACCAAUCUCCAUCCGUUGCCAUUGAGAAAAAAACUCCACAAGAGGUAUGGUCUGGUAAUCCUGCUAAUUAUUCUAAUUUAAACAUUUUUGGGUGUCUUGCGUAUGCUCAUGUUGGUAAUGGAAAAUUGGAACCGAGAUCCAUUAAAUGCGUUUUUCUUGGUUACAAAGCUGGUGUAAAAGGGUAUAAGUUAUGGUGUCCUGAAAAUAGAAAAGUUGUGAUUAGCAGGGAUGUUUUUUAUGAAACUGCUAUGCUACCUAACUUAUCUCUUAAAGACUCUUCCAAUAAAGAAAAUCAAAAGUAGGUGGAGCAUCAGAUUAAUACAGAGUCAACUCCUCAAGCUAGUACAAAAAUUGAUAAUAGAGUUGCUUCUUCACCACAAUAUUCUAUCGCCAAAAACAGAACUAGAAAAGAAAUUAAAGCUCCAAAGAAGUAUGUCGAAGCUGAUUUAGUUGCUUCUACUUUAAAUGUGGCUGAAGAUAUAGAUGCAAACCAAGAGCCAUCUAAUUAUUCUGAGGAGGCUAGCUGUAAAGACUUAGAAAAAUGGAUGUUUGCUAUGCAAGAGGAGAUGGAAUCACUUCACAAAAACAAAACAUGGGAUCUUGUGAAACUUCCUAAAGGUAAGAAGACUGUUCACUGUAAAUGUGUGUUUAAAAAGAAAGAAGGGACUCCAUGAGUUGAAGAACCCAGAUAUAAAACAAGGCUUAUUGCAAAGGGUUACAGUCCAAUUCCAGGAGUGGACUUCACAGAUGUGUUCUCCCCAAUUGUGAAGCAUAGUUUGAUUCGAGCUUUGCUUGGUAUUGUGGCCAUGCAUAAUUUGGAGCAUGUGCAGUUAGAAUUAAAAACUGCAUUUUUGCAUGGAGAACUUGAAGAGGAUAUUUACAUGUAACAACCAGGGGGUUUUACAGUCUCAGAAAAAGAGGACUAUGUUUGCUUGCUAAAAAAGUCCCUUUACGGUUUGAAACAGUCACCAAAACAGUGGUACAAGAGGUUUGAUUCCUUUAUGACUUUUCAUAAUUUUGAAAGAAGUAGUUUUGACAGUUGUGUUUACUUUAAGAAAAACAGUGAUUGUCCUUUUGUGUAUCUUCUUCUUUAUGUUGAUGACAUGUUGAUAGCAGCAAAAGAUAAAUGAGAGAUAAGAAAGGUCAAAGCCCAACUAAGUGAAGAAUUUGAGAUGAAACAUUUGGGACAAGCAAAGAAGAUACUUGGUAUGGAGAUUCUCAGAUAUGGAAAAGCAAGUAAAUUGUACCUAAGUCAGAAGGGGUACAUUGAGAAAGUUCUUUGCAGGUUCAAUAUGCAGAGUGCUAAGCCUAUUAGUACUCCUUUAGCAGCCCAUUUCAGACUUUCAUCGGCUUCGUCUCCACAAUCAGAUGAUGAGAUUGAGUACAUGUCACAUGUUCCAUACUCUAGUGCAGUGGGAUCUCUCAUGUAUGCUAUGGUUUGUUUACGUCCAGAUUUAUCAUAUGUAGUUAGUGCAGUUAGCAAAUAUAUGGUGAAUCCCGGUAAAGAACAUUGGAAAGCAGUUCAGUGGAUUUUAAGAUAUUUACGAGGUACUACUAAUGUUUGCUUACAGUUUGCAAGAACUAGAGAUGGAGUAAUUGGGUAUGUUGAUGCUGAUUUUGCUGGAGACCUUGAUAGAAGAAGAUCUCUCACAGGUUAUGUCUUUACAAUCAGAGGUUGUGCAAUUAGUUGGAAAACCACUUUGCAAACUACAGUCGCUUUGUCUACCACUGAAGCUGAGUACAUGGCGAUUACUGAGGCUUGUAAAGAAGCUAUUUGGUUGAAGGGACUCUUUAGUGAACUCAAUGAAGACCUUCAAAUCAGCACAGUAUUUUGUGACAGUCAAAGUGUCAUCUUUCUUACAAAAGAUCAAAUGUUUCAUGAGAGAACAAAACACAUUGAUGUUCGGUAUCAUUUUGUUCGUGAUAUUAUUACUCGUGGUGAUAUUGUUGUGAGCAAAAUUAGUACUCAUGAAAAUUCUGCAGAUAUGAUGAGUAAGUCACUUCCUAUAACCAAGUUUAAGCAUUGCUUAGACUUGGUUGGUGUUCAUUGUUGAAGUUAAACCCUUAAGGGGUUUUAUGGAAGAGGUGGAGAACUUGUUCGUUGAGAGUUCGCGAUGAAGAACUUGUUCAUUGAGAAUUCGUGUCAAGGUGGAGAUUGUUAGAAUUAAGUGACUCGAAUCCUUAUUUAAAUAAAAUACAGUGGUAAAAUAAAUAAAAGAAGAAUCCAUAUAGAAUUACACUUCUUUUAUUUUAUUUUAGAAUAAGGUUUUUAAACCUUAUUAAAUACCAUCUAUUUGAUAUUGAUUAGAAUAAAGUGUUUUAGUCUUACUAGAAUAUGGCUUUACAAGCCUAUAGAUAGACAUAGUCUAUUCCUCUUGUAAUGAUUCGAAUUCGACAUAGUGAAUUUUCUUCUCCUCUGCCCGUGGUUUUUUCCCGAAAGGGUUUCCACGUAAAAAUCUGUUUUCUUUAUUUUAUUUUUAUUUUUUUCACAAUAACUGUAUUGUGUUUUUUUUUAAAAGUCAUUAUUGUAAAAUUUUUAUAUCAUAUCAUUUUAACAUUUUGUAUAAUAUUUUAUAUAAAUGUUCUUAUACAUUAUUAUAUAUAUAAUUCAUGAUAAAAUUAAUUUUAUUCUAUGUAUAUUAUUAAUCUCAUGCUAUUUUAUACAUAUAAUUUCUUUUAAAUCUAUUCACAUAUUUUAUUAUAUAUUUUUGUUAUUUAAAGGAAAGUCCUACAUAUUUUAUGUAGUAUUUAAAUUAUUAUAUAUAUAUACAUACAUAUAUAUAUUGGUCCAUGUUAUUUUAUACAUAUAAUUUCUUUUAAAUCUUUUUGUAUAUAUAAUUAUGUUUUUAAAAUCUAUUACAUAUACAAUUUAUGAUAAAAUUAACUUAAUCUUAUACGCAUUAUUAAUUCCAUGCUAUUUUUACAAAUAAUUACUUCUAAAUAUAUUUAUGUGUAUAUAUAUAUGUUUUGUAAAUCUGUUAUGUGUAUAAUUUAUUUCCUAAGAUUAUUUCUUAUUAUGUAUUUUUACUAUCAUUUCAUAUUUUAUAUAUUAUUUAAAUUCUCCUUAAUUGUGUGUAUACUGUCAAUUUUAAACAAAUAUUUUUUAACACUUUGUACAUUAUUUGAUUCAAAUGUCUUCAUUCUAUAAUAUUCAUUUUAAUGAUUAUAUAUAUCCCUAGUUUUUUUAUACAAGUUAUUUCAAAUUCAUCAAUUCAUCAAUUCAUAUAUUAUAUAUAUUAUGUGUUCAUCCAUUCAUCAUUGUUUUAAAAUCGUCUUAUAUCACAUUGGCUUCUAAUUUCAUUUUGUUUUGUACAUUUUUGUAUUGAUUGUUUUAUAUUAUGCUCUAUGUAUUAUUGUUACAUAUUAUUUAUUCAUUUUUUUUAUUGUUAUAUCAAUUGUGCUCCAUCCAUGCUUAAAAAUUUGGUUACAUUUUUCUUAGAUUAGUUAUAUUUAAUUGUUAUCUUUGUUAGUUGGUUCGACAAAGUUGUGUCAUCUUUAUUCACCAAGUAUUGUAUUUUAUGUGUGCAUAUUAUCCCAUGUUUAUUAUUUUUCUUUUGGUUUACAAAUGUCGCUUUAUAAUUUCCAACUCUUUAAAAUCAAUUAUUCCAUUUUGUUUCAAGUCAAAUAAAUGUGUUUUGAGCUAGUUCACAAUUUUUUAUUUAAAAAUUCUAAAAUAAGGCAAUAUUCAAUGUUUGAAAAUUCAGAAAAUUGUGCUCUAUCGUGCUGGAUUUCGAUUUUUCGUUGGACUAAAUAAUUUGACAUCCUUUUGUGUGUUCAACGUAUGAGCUUUUGGAAGUCAAAAAUUAAUCGUGUUUUCAAAGGUAUAAAGAAUCGUGUCCUAUCGUGCUGGAUGUGAUGCUGUAUACCUUUGAAAUGAGAGAAUUUUGACUACCAACUUAAACCACUCAAAUGUUUUAAAAGGAACCAUAUUUCAAAAAAAAUUCUAAAAUCUUAGACAUAAGGACAGCACUUAAUUAAUUUGGUACCAAUUUUUGGGCAUAGUGAGGGUGCUAACCCUUCCUCAUACGUAACCGGUUCACGAACCCAUUUUUUAAAUUUACGUAAACCAAAAUUGAUUUAAGUAGAAUAAAAUGUUUUAUUAGGUGAUCCAAUCACACCUAAACAAAAAGGUUGGUGGCGACUCCACACUUUGUUUUAAAAAGUCGAUCUCUGUUUUUUUUUUCUAAAAUAAAAAAUGGUUUCGACAACUUGCCUUGUUGAUUGAUCUCUAAUCGAGAGCCAAGUUAAUGUUGGCUUUGUUGAAUUUUGAGUCUAGUUUUCCUUUCAUUAGCAUGCAAUCAUUAGUUGAUGAAGAGAUAAAAACUAGGCUCAUAAUGUAAGGCCCAAAUUCUGCCCGAGCCCAAUAAACCAAAUAAAUAAAUAGAGUCCAAAAUACAAAACUAAAACCUAACCCAACAAGCCCAAAUCAACCCUAGCCCACUAAAAAUUUUCCAGCAAAAAAGAAGGCAGGAAACCCUAGCCGCUCCCCCCCUUGACCAGCAGCCUCCACCUUCUGCUCACCCACGUGCCUCGAGCGCACUGCCCGCGCCUGGCCCCGAGGCCUGACCACCUCUGCUCGGCCUUGUACCAACCCCAUUGACCUCCUAGCAACCUGCAAAAAAGAACAAAAGCAAAGCAGAAACAAAGAUAGAAGCAACGCAACACGCAAACAAAUCGUACAACAGAGAACAGUAGCAAACAGUGAUGGAAAACGAUGUAUUUCGGCUAUAAAGCCGAAAGAAAAAAAAUCAAUGUAAAAGGGGGCGACCAAUGGUAUUUUUCGGGGGUUUUUCUUUUCAAAUACAAAUUGUAUUUUACAUUUUUCAGAGAAUCAAAAACAGUUGAGGUAUUCUCAUUAAAAAAAUACAAAAAACUUGAAAGAAAAUGUGAUUUUUCUACUGCUUUUAGAUUUCGGUUUCAUUUUUCAUUUUUUAUUUUUUUAUCUUUUACAUGCGAAAAUAAUGAAAAGGAAAAAGGGGAGAAGAAACUCACCUGGUGUUCUAGUUUUCUUCACCGUGAGAGGUUGAGGAAGCCACCGCCGAGGAUCGGAGGCCGAAAACUGAAAGGUUUCUUGGGUUUUGAGGGGUUUCCGUUAGUUUUUUGGGGAUUUCAGUGUCGAAAAUAGGCUCAGGAGGUGGAAAAUAUCAAAGGGGGCCUUUUUCGUUCCUCCGGCCACCGUGGACAGAACUAGAAGAGAAAUUAAAGCUCCAAAGAAGUAUGUCGAAGCUGAUUUAGUUGCUUCUACUUUAAAUGUGGCUGAAGAUAUAGAUGCAAACCAAGAGCCAUCUAAUUAUUUUGAGGCGGCUAGCUGUAAAGACUUAGAAAAGUGGAUGUUUGCUAUGCAAUAGGAGAUGGAAUCACUCCACAAAAACAGAACAUGAGAUCUUGUGAAACUUCCUAAAGGAAAAAGGGGUUUUCGUUGUAAAUGGGUGUUUAAAAAAGAAAAAAGGGAUUCUAGGAGUUGAAGAACCCAGAUAUAAAGCAAGGCUUGUUGCAAAGGGUUACAGUGAAAUACCAGGAGUGGACUUCACAGAUGUCUUCUCCCCAGUUGUGAAGCAUAGUUCAAUUCGAGUUUUGCUUGGUAUUGUGGUCAUGCAUGAUUUGGAGCUUGAGCAGUUAGAUGUAAAAACUGCAUUUUUGUAUGGGGAACUUGAAAAGGACAUUUACAUGCAACAACCAGAGGGCUUUACAGUCUCAGAAAAAGAGGACUAUGUUUGCUUGCUGAAAAAGUCCCUUUAUGGUUUGAAACAGUCACCAAGACAGUGGUACAAGAGGUUUGAUUCCUUUAUGACUUCUCAUGAUUUCAAAAGAAGUAGUUUUGACAGUUGUAGUUACUUUAAGAAAAAUAGUGAUGGUUCUUUCAUAUAUCUACUUCUUUAUGUUGAUGUCAUUUGAUAGCAACAAAAGAUAAAGGAGAGAUAAGAAAGGUCAAAGCCCAACUAAGUGAAGAAUUUGAGAUGAAAGAUUUGGGACCAGCAAAGAAGAUACUUGGUAUGGAGAUUCUCAGAGAUAGAAAAGCAAGUAAAUUGUACCUAAGUCAGAAGGGGUACAUUGAGAAAGUUCUUUGUAGGUCCAAUAUGCAGAGUGCUAAGCCUGUUAGUUAGCAUCCCAUUUGAGACUUUCAUCGGCUUUGUCUCCACAAUCAUAUAAUGAGAUUGAGUGUAUGUCACAUGUUUCAUACUCUAGUGCAGUGGGAUUUCUCAUGUAUACUAUGGUUUGUUCACUUCCAGAUUUAUUAUAUGCAGUCAGUGCAGUUAGCAGAUACAUGGCGAAUCCCUGUAAAGAACACUGGAAAGCAGUUCAGUGGAUUUUAAUAUGCUUACGAUGUACUACUAAUGUCUGCUUACAGUUUGGAAGAACUAGAGAUGGAGUCAUUGGGUAUGUUGAUGCUAAUUUUGCUGGAGACCUUGAUAGAAGAAGAUCUCUCACAGUUUAUGUCUUUACAAUCGGAGGUUGUGCAAUCAGUUGGAAAGCAACUUUGUAAACUACAGUUGAAGCUGAGUACAUGGCGAUUACUGAGGCUUGUAAAGAAGCUAUUUGGUUGAAAGGACUCUUUAGUGAACUCAAUGAAGACCUUCAAAUCGGUACAGUAUUUUGUGACAGUCAGAGUGCAAUCUUCCUUACAAAAGAUCAAAUGUUUCAUGAGAGAACAAAACACAUUGAUGUUCAGUAUCAUUUUGUUCGUGAUAUUAUUACUCGUAGUGAUAUUGUUGUGAGCAAAAUUAGUACUCAUGAAAAUCCUGCAGAUAUGAUGACUAAGUCACUUCCUAUAACCAAGUUUGAGCAUUGCUUAGACUUGGUUGGUGUUCAUUAUUGAAUUUAAACCCUUAAGGGGUUUUAUAGAAAAGGUGAAAAACUUGUUCGUUGAGAAUUUGUGUCAAUGUGGAGAUUGUUAGAGUUGUGUGGUCCAAAUUUUAAGAGAUUACUUGCAAGUCAAGAUAAACAAAGUAUAUCUUCUUUCUAGAAGAUUUAGUAUUUAUGAGUAUAAUAUAUUUAGCAUUUAUUAGCAUAAUAUAUUUUACUUUGAUUAGAAUUAGGUUUUUUCAACCUAUAAAUAGAUGUAGUUGAAACUCCUCUUGUAAUCAUUCGAAUUCAACAUAAUGAAUUUUCUUCUUCUCUACCCUUGGUUUUUUUUUCUUAUAAGGGUUUCUACGUAAAAUCUAUGUGUGUUCUUUAUUUUAUUUUAUUUUCACAGUGUGAUUAUAGUCAAAAUUUAUUUUUUAUAACUUCUAACAAAUAAUGUCACACCUCAAAAUUGGGAGUAGAGUUUUGAGGGUAAUUUAGAGAUUUUGACUUGGAAUGAGCUCGAAAAUUUCAAAGUUUGGUAAACUGAAUAUAGAUUUAACUAUGGAUUAAAUAUUUUUAAUAGUACAAAGUAUAAACAAUAUAUAAUAGAAUUAAAAAAAUGAUGUUUUGAAGUUUAAGUUUUUUAUGUUCUUAGUGAAACUAUAUUUAUUAAAUAAAAUAAAAUUAUGAGAAACCAUUGUUUUAGAUAAAAUUUUCCGAAGGAAUUUAAAUUAAUCAAAAUUAAAUUUUCUCUUCUAAUUUUUCACUCAAAUACACCUUGAAUGAUCCAAAGUACAAAUAAAUUCUCGUCCCUCUAUUUCCUUUAUUAAUAGACAUUAUUGAUAUUAUGUUUUAAAUAAACAUUAUUGAUAUUAUGUUCAAAUAUAAUUCAAUUCAAAUUCGAUUUGUCCCAAAAACACCUUCGUUUCUACUCCUUCAAGUACGAUUCAACCAAGUCUUUAUGUUCAUUUGUAAUAUAUAAACUAAUAAUUCCCAAAGAUUAUUGAGAUAUUCAUGCUUUUUAUUAGAGUUGGGUGACUCAAAUCUCAGCCUAAAAAAUUCGAGAUGCAACUCACUUGUUAAAGAAAUACAAUAGAGAGGCAAAAUUCCCCGCGAUACGAACCUUGCCGCACAAGUUGAAUCCAUGUAGGACUAUACUUCUUCUAUUAUACGUUGAUUAUAAAAGGUUUGUUUAACCUUUAAAAUGUGCAGAAAACCUUUUGUAUUAUUUUUUUCAACAUUAGUGAAUAUCUCCUCCUCUGCCCGUGAUUUUUCUCAAUAAGGGUUUUCCACGUAAAAUAUGUAUGUUCUUAUUUUUCUUUCUUAUUGUUUUGCUAUUAUUCCUACUACCAUUAUCAAUGAAUAUUAUAAAAAAAUGGUAUCACAGCAUUCAAGUUGCUUGUCCCAAUCACGGUAAUGGCGACAUUGAAGUAUGAUAUAACGUUGUUGGAUCGCAACACUAGAUUCGUAUUGUGGAAGGUAAAGAUGCAGGAAAUUUUUGCACAAAUGGAUUUGGGUUAUGCCCUGCUAAGGUUAGAUAAGAUGCCUUUGAAAUUGACACUUGAAGAAAAGCAGUAUAAGGAUCAAAAGGUCCUAUCGCAAUUACAUCUCUAUCUGUUGAAUGAAAUUCUACAGGAGAUGUUGAAGGAGAAGAUUGCUGUUGCAUUAUGGUUGAGGUUGGAGCAAUUAUGCAUGUCGAUAACCAUAACUAGCAAGCUUCAUCUGAAGCAGUGUCUUUAUUCUCAUCAUUUGGAAGAAGGUACGUCUUUGGUAGAACACUUAACUAUCUUUAAAGAAAUUGUCUUGAAUUUAGAGGCCAUGGAGGUUCAGUAUGAUAAAGAGGAUUUAGGGUUGAGUCUGCUUUAUUCAUUUCCCCCUUCCUAUUUGACCUUUAAAGAUGCAAUUUUGUAUAGUCGCAAAUCUCUCACAAUUGAUGAAGUUUAUGAUUGUUUAACCUCGCAUGACAAGAUGAAGCUUGUGGCUGGAUCCAGCUCUCAAGGAAAGGGUCUCAUUGUUCAUAAGAGAAAAGAACAAAAUACUGGUGAUAAUCAUGGGAGGACAUAAGAACGAAAUUCUGGCAGUAAAGCCAAGGGUAAACUAUAUGCAUAAAAAAUGUAAUAAAUACAUGUAAUUUGUAACAGUUUGAUUUUCAAUGGUGUCGAAAAAGACAGUUUUCAAACCUCAUUGUGGUGAAUCGGGCCCGUAAAUAUUAAAUAUGAAGAUUUACGGGGUUGGUAUAAAAUUUUAUUAAAGUUUAGUCCUUCAAUUUUGUUUAUUAAUUGCUUAAUUAAGGUAUAGGGACUAAAUUAUAAAAGUUUUCUCGCUAUAAAUUUUUAAUUGGGCAAAGGUCUAAGGGCUCAAAUUGUAAUUAAUCAAACGUAAAAAAUGGAAAUUUAACCAUCUUGAAUUAAGUGUUAGUGGUUGGAGAUGUCUUUAGUCAAUUAAGUAUGUUUAAUUUAAUUAAACUUAAUUAAAGUUAACAAAAUAUUUAAUCAAAGUAUGAAAAGAAAUUUAAGUAGGAAGAAAGAGAAGAAACCUUCAUCUUCUCCAUCCACCACCGAAACACCAUAGCCAAAGAAUUGAGAAAAACAAAUAAGGUUCUCAAGCUUUCGAUUGUUAUUAGGUAUGUUCAGUUAAGUCAUUUUCUUGUAAUUUUUAUGUUUUUGAGGUUAUGGGAGCUUGGUUUAGCUAGCCCAUGUACCAAUAUGAGUUUUUGAAAGUUUUCAUUGAUGGUUUCUUGAAUAAAUUUAUGUUAAAUUGAUAAAUUUUAAGCUUAGAUAUGAAAAAGAUAUAGAUUGUAAAGUUUAAAUUGCUAGUUUUGCACAAAAGGACUAAAGUGAAUAAAUUGUAAAAUUUAUGUGAAAUUUUAAUAAUAAUAGAUAGUAUAGGGUCCCUAAGGGAUGAAAUUGAAAUCGAUUUUAAAACUGAGACUCAAAAUUGAAAGUUAUGGUUAUUUCAGUUUUAGGGACUAAAUUGAAUAAAAUAUAAUUUAAAAAUUAUAUAGAUUCAUACAUAUCAUGGCAUAACAUAAAACUGUUGGGUAUUAAUAAAUUGUCUAGAAUUAUUGUUUAGGUCAAGAAUUAAAUCAAACCGAGGAUAAUUGGGAAAAAACUAAAAUUGUCAAAUAGUCCUUGAAAAUUCAAAAUUAUUUAUAUUAUACCAAUAUAAUAUUAUAGACAAAAGUGUAAAUCAAUACUGUUAUAUAAUAAUACUAUGUGCGCCUUCCGAUUUAAGUUCAGGAAGGUUAUGGGAAGAAGUAAAUAUUGUAUAAAAAAAAUAAUUAUUCCAUUGCUUUGUUUUAGUAUAACAAAGGUAUUUUUUUGUCUAUUUUACGGUCUAUAAAGAUUAAUCCUUUCAGUGUUCAUUGAUGCUCUCUCCUAACAAUAUUGUCCUAAAGAUUUGAGCUUAAGUUCUUUCUCUAAAGAGAAAUCUAUCAAGCUUUCACUCAAAAAAAAAAAAAGAAAAGAAAAGGAAAAUUUGCAAUUUUGUUAACCAAACUUAAAAUAGAAUACGUUUCUUACAAGUUUUCCAUUAAUUACUAUCCGUCAAUGGAAUAAGAGAUUAGAUAAUGUAAAUUAAAGAAUUUUUUAUACAAUUCCUCAUACUAUGAAUAAUUCACCUAUUUCUAAUUGUUACAAUCAAUAUCGUGAUUGGUUUAACAAAUGCUUACCCUUAAUUCAAAGCCAAUUUAAUAUUAACUUUACUAAAUCAAAUGCUUACCCUUAAUUCAAAGCCAAUUUAAUAUUAACUUUACUAAAUCAUGAGUUCAAAUCAAUGAUGAAGACAAAAAAAAAAAAAAAAAUCUAAACUCAUGAUUCAAGAAAGCCACAUUAUAGGGCUAUUAGCAAUAGACAGCAAUCUGUAGUAGCCAAUGAUCAAUCAACAAAUGUUAGUCCUUAAUUGAGAAUCAAGUUAAUGUCGACUUUGCUGAAUUAUGAAUCUAGUUUUCUUUUCAUUUGCAUGCAAUCAUUAGUUGAUGAAAAGAUAAAAACUAAGUUCAUAAUCCAACAAAGUCGAUAUUAUAGGGCUAUUAGUAACAGAUAGCACAUGUUGAUUGAUCUCUAAUUAAGAGACAAGUCAAUGUCGAUUUUGCUGAAUUAUGAGUUUAAUUAUUUUUUCCUUUGCAAACAACGAUGAAAAGAUAAAAAUUAGACUCAUAAUCCAGCAAAGUCGAGAUUAUAGCCAAUAUCAUUGGCAAUAGCAACCACCUCGGUAUUUCUAUAUAUUUCCAAGGGGAUGAUAAUGAGAGAGGCAAGGGGUAAACGUAUUUAUAGUUGAAGCCUAAUGAAUGUCUUGUAGAAAAGAAAAGAAUCGAUAAUAAACAAUUACAUAUUGAUUAUUUUAUGCAAAUAGUUUAUAAUUUUUUCACAAAGGAAAAUUACUUGGUAGUUGACGUUUCUUUUCCUUUUAUUUAUGAAGAAUAAGGUAGGUUGACAUUCAAUGAAAAUGAUUUGUAUCUAGAAAAUUUCAAUUUAAAUAGUUUAAAAUUGAGUUUGGGCACUUGAAAUCUCAAAUUUAUCCUUAUAGUGUUUUAAAAUAAAAGGUAAAUUGGACAGUUGGUCACCCAACUUGUAAUGUUUUACAAGGAAUUACUUUGGUUUUUAUAAGAAAAAUUUGUGUCUUUACGAAGAAAAAUCAUUUUAUUUAUUUUUAUUUUUCAUUUUUAUUAAAUUAAGGCUUAAGUAUUAAAAAUCCUAGAAAAUAAUUCAAAAAUCAAUUGAGUCUCUUGUUGAAAUGAGCAAUCAAUUGAUCCCCUAUAUUAUGGAUUUCCAACGAAACCCCUGACAGACCGUUAAGUCGACAUUAAUUUGGCUCUCAAUUAUAGAUAAGCAUUUAUUAGAUAAAAAAUUAGAUCGAUCAAAACUAAUCAUGAUCGAUCUAUUAAUUAAUACACAUUUAUUUAGUUUUAACACGUAUAAGAUGCUUUCCAAUGCUUGUAGCUUUAUAAUGUCAACUUUGCUGGAUUAUGAGUUUAAUUUUUAUUUCUUCAUCAUCGCAUGCAAAUGAAAGGAAAAUUAGACUCAUAAUUCAACAAAUUCAACAUUAAUGUUAUACUAUAUGUCGAUAAUGGUAGUAGGAAGGACUGUAAAGCAAUAAGAAAGAAAAAUAAGAACACACAAAUUUUACGUGAAAAACCUUUUUUGGGAAAAACCACAGGCAAAGAAGAAGAAAUUCAUUAAUGUUGAAAAAUAACAAUACAAAAGGUUUUCGAGUACACACAUUUUAAGGGUCAAACGAUCCUGUUAUAAUCAAUGUCUAAUAGAAUAAGUAUAGUCAUAUACGGAUUCAACUUGUGCGGCAUUACACCCCCACAAAUCCCCUAUUUUGCCUCUCUAUUUUAUUUCUUUAACAAGUGAGUUGCACCUCAAAUUAUUCAAGUCGGAUCAAACGGGAUUCAAGUCACAAAACUCUAACAAUUAAUUCAACUCUCAAUUAAGGAUCAAGAUUUAUUAGAUAAACAAAUUAGAUUGAUUGAAAUUGACUAUGACCAAUCUAUAAAUUAGUACCCAUUUAUCUAGUUUUAACACAUAUAAGAUGCUUUCCAAUGCUCAUAGCUUAAUAAUGUCAACUUUGCUAGAUUAUGAGCCUAAUUUUUAUUUCUUCAUCAUCGCAUGCAAAUGAAAGGAAAGUUAGACUCAUAAUUCAGCAAAGUCGACACUAUUUUGGCUCUCAAUUAAGGAUCAACAUUUAUUAGAUGAACAAACUAGAUCGAUUGAAAUCGACCAUGAUCAGUCUAUUAAUUAGUACCCAUUUAUCUAGUUUUAACACAUAUAAGAUGCUUUCCAAUGCUCGUAGCUUUAUAAUGUCAACUUUGCUGGAUUAUGACCCUAAUUUUCAUUUCUUCUUCAUCACACGAAAAUAAAAGGAAAGUUAGACUCAUAAUUCAACAAAGUCGACAUUAAUUUGACUCUCAAUUAAGGAUCAACAUUAAUUAGAGAAACAAACUAGAUCGAUUGAAACCAACCAUGAUCAAUCUAUUAGUUAGUACCCAUUUAUCUAGUUUUAACACAUAUAAGAUGCUUUCCAAUACUCGUAGCUUUAUAAUGUCAACUUUGCUAGAUUAUGAGCCUAAUUUUCAUUUCAUCAUCAUCGCAUGCAAAUGAAAGAAAAUUAGACUCAUAAUUCAGCAAAGUCGACAUUAAUUUGACUCUCAAUUAAGGAUCAACAUUUAUUAAAUAAACAAACUCGAUCGAUUGAAAUUGACCAUGAUCGAUCUAUUAAUUAGUACCUACUUAUCUAGUUUUAACAAAUAUAAGAUGCUUUCUAAUGCUCGUAGACUUAUAAUGUCAAUUUUGUUGGAUUAUGAAGGUAAUUUUUCAUUUCUUCAUCAAUUACAUGCAAAUGAAAAGAAAACUAAACUCAUAAUUCAACAAAGUCAACAUUAAUUUGGCUCUCAAUUAAGGAUGAACUUUAUUAGAUAAACAAAUUAAAUCAAUUGAGAGUGACCAUGAUCCAUUUAUUAAUUAGUACCCAUUAAUCUAGUUUUAACAAAUAUAAGAUGUUUUCCUAGAUUAUGAGUCUGGUUUAUAUUGUUGAGAGAGAUCUAGAUUCCUAAUCUAGCAAGGUCCACGUUUCCUUGGCUCUCAAUGUCCAUAUUUACGGAUUUACAAAUUCCAAUUCAAUCAUGUCAAUAUUUUUUUCCAUCUCAGCUACAAAUAUUAACUCUAUCCAUCUUCUCCAUUAUCUCUAUCACUACAACUUCUUAGCUUCAAUCUAAUCGAAAAAUCAUGAUCAGGUUUGAAAGAUUGUUGAUUUUUGCCUAUUAUUUAUUAUUUCAGAUAUUUAUUAAGUUGAAACUGGAUUAAGUCACUACUACGUUUAGAUAUUAUAUAAUUUUCAGAUAUUUUUCUUUCCUUUUACAUAUUAUAUAAUUUAUAAUAUAUUAUUUUUGUUUAGAAAUUUGAUAAACAUAUAUAAUAGCAAAAGAAAUAUAUUCUUUUUUUUCUACUCGGUAAUAAAAUUUAGUUAAUAAAAAAAUGGGUGGAGCAAAAUGAAAUUAAAUUAAUAAUUUAGACAGAAUCAAAAAAAUAUAAAAAUCAUAUAUAAAAUCGUACCAUAUUUAGAAUCUGAUAUAUGAAACCUCAAAUUGUGAGUUCAUCAUCUUAGCUUUUAAUCUUGACCAAUAUCUCUGACAAAUUCACAGAUUUUGAACAAAUAAUAUUUUAAACUUAAUGGCGGAGGUAGAAAAUUUUUUUGGGAGAUGGAUUUAAAUUGUAUAUAUUUACGAUAGUAAAAAUGUAAUUUCAUCAUUUUAAUAGUCUAUAUCUUUAUAAUUUUUAAAGGGUUAAAUUAAAAUUUUAUCAUUUUUAGACUAAAGUAUAAUUUUACCAUUACUAAUUUAAAAUUUUAUAAAUUAUAAAAAGCUUGAAUUUAAAUUUUACUAUUUUAAGAGGGCCACGAUUCCCAGUCUCUUAGUGGCUCCACCACUAAUCAUAAGUACUUGUUUAUGAUAUUAAAUUUAUAAGAUUAAAUCUUUAAAUUAAAAAAUCGAUAAUAAGUCUAACAUUUAUCAUUGAAGCUAAAACAUGGAUUUUAUUUUAUUUUAUGAAUAGAAAAAAAAUUGUCGAAUUCAUAAAAUAGAUAAAAACUCGAAACAAAAUUAUGAAAAUGUUUUAAACUAAUUUAUUUAUAAAAAAAUAAUUUUAAACCCUGAAUUUAUUUUAAAGUAUGUACAAUUUAAUUAAAUAUAUUCUUAUUUUAUAUUUAUUAUACUAAAUAUAUUCUAAUAUUUUUUUAAAAUUUAAUAAAGUCUCCUGUGGAAUUUUAAACAGAACUUGUUUGAGGAAUAAUUUUAUCACAUUGCUUAAAGUUUACAACAAAAAGAAGCUGACAUCCUUAACAUUGUUGGCCACCCAACAACCAUAUAAAUAAAUAAAUACACAUUCAUAAAGUAGUACUUCUCCUGUUGAAACUAUUUCGUCACAAUUUUCAUUUUUUAUGGGAUGAAAUAUAUAUUUAAUGAAAUUCGCUUAUAAUUUUCCAUAUAUGAUGGGAAUAGAGAACAAAGGUUGAGCUAAAAAUAUAUAGGAAUGGAUGGAGUCUUUGGGUGGGAUCCGAUUAGAUCGAAUUUUUAGUUUUUAAAUUUGAAUAGAUUUGAGACCUCAUGUAGAGGUUUUGUACAAAAACUUAUCAAAAAGUAGAGAGUGUAAAUUUAUGUUUAGGUUGUAUCGUAAUUCAAAAUAGAAAAUUUCAAAAUUAAAUGGAUUUAAAGGUUUUAAAUUUUUAAAGAAUUUUAUUAUUUAUAACUAAAUUUAAAUAAAACUUAUCUUUUAUUAUAUAAAUAAUAAUCCAGAUUCAACAAGUUUUUACCUUAUUUCAAACUUGAGGAAAGAUAAAAUUUGGAAGCAAUCUUCCGAUACUUGAAAGGCAUCUAACAUUACAUUAAGAAAACAAAGGUUGCUUGAACUAUUUUCCAAGUCAACUAUCAAAUUUCAUUUACUAUUUAAUCCCAACCUCAAGCUUUCAGUUCUCACAACUUUUCGAUAUUCCAUAAUUACAAUAACAUUCGUUACAUCUACAAUCGUCCGUACUUUUUCUUCAAUAUCUUAACAUCAAUGGCCAAAGUUAACAAGAGAUUGGCUGUUCUAGUGGGUUGCAAUUACCCAAACACCCAAUACGAAUUGCACGGAUGUAUAAACGAUGUGGUAGCCAUGAAAGACGUGCUGGUUAAACGAUUCGGGUUCGAUCCAACAAAUAUCGAACUCUUGACCGAUGCAUCGGCGGCGACUGGAGAAGGGUCAUCAUCGGUGGUUUUGCCGACAGGGGAGAACAUUAAGGCAGCAUUGAGUAAGAUGGUGAGACAGGCUGAAGCCGGUGAUGUGUUGUAUUUCCAUUAUAGUGGACAUGGAACAAGAAUUCCAAAACCUGCCCACCUUUUCGGACACGAUGAGGCAAUUGUGCCUUGUGAUUUCAAUCUCAUUACAGGUAAACUUUUUCCCACUAUACUUUUAAUUUUAUUUUAUACGAAUCUCGAAAUAUAAAAUUCUUGACUUCACCUAAUACGCAUGUGUGAUUGUUGUAGACGUGGAUUUUAGACAAUUAGUUAACCAAUUACCAAAAGGAGCAAGUUUCACGAUCUUGUCGGAUUCAUGUCACAGUGGUGGUCUCAUUGAUAAAGAAAAAGAACAAAUUGGACCUUCUACCUAUAGGGCAGCUUCAUCACUUUCUUACAAGGCUAAGAACAUCCCUUUUGAAUCCAUACUUGAGCACCUAACAACACUAACAGGGAUCAACACAUCAGACAUUGGUACUCAUUUGUUAGAAUCCUUUGGUGCCAAUGCCAGCCUCAAAUUCCUCACACCUCAGCUCGAGUCCGAGUUAUUCGACUUCUUGAAGGCUGAUGAGGGGAUUUUGUUAAGUGGGUGUCAAGCAGAUGAGACAUCGGCGGACAUGAACCCGAUGGAGAGCGGUGGGAAAGCGUACGGAGCCUUUAGCAAUGCCGUCCAGAUGGUAUUGAAAGAGAACUCCGGAAGAUUAAGCAAUAAAGAGGUUGUGAUGAUGGCUAGAAAAGUUUUAGAGGCUCAAGGAAUUGAUCAACACCCUUGCCUUUAUUGCAGUGAUGAGAACGCCGAUGCUACUUUCUUAUGCCAGCCUGAGGCCGAGCCUUACUGAUAUCGGUAUCGACAAUUUAAAUAUUGGUUGCAACGUGAUAUUACGAUCGUUAUUUACGAAUUCGAUUCUUCUAGUUACUAAUGUUUAACAAAAUUCACUACAUCCGAAAAUAUGUUGGCAACAGCAAUUUAAAUUCCGAUUUGAAUAUAUGUAUUUGCUUUGUGAUUCAUUUGCAAUAAUAAGAUGUAAUGUCAGCCUCUUGUAUGAGAAAUUCUUAAUCUAUAUUAUCUAUGAAUUUGUGAAACAUUUCUUGUUAAACUAAUUGCUAAGGACCAUUAUUUAUGUGUUCAUUUCUUGAUCUAUGAUAUAAGUAACAGAAUGAAUUUUAUGAACAAUUUUUAGCAGAUCCGUGUCCGCCUAAAUUCCAAGGAACUGCUUAUGAGGAGGAAAAAAGAUUUACCUUGCUUGGAACUGUGUCAGUUUAAAGUUCAAUUCAUGUUUCUGUGUCGACAGAUUAUAUCGUGGUGGUGGUUUAGCUCUUCUCUGGAAUUCUAAGUAUAAUAUUUCAAUGACCGGUUUUUGUGGAAAUCAUAUUAACGUGGUUGUUGAUGUUGAUAACAUGAUUAAGUGGCGCCUUUCUAGGUUGUAUGGGUACCCCGAGGCCGCUCAUAAGCAAUUGCUAGUUGGGAGUUACUUUGUUCUCUCACUCGGGCUUCUAGGUUGUCGUGGGUUUGCAUCGAUGACUUCAACUAUCUUCUUUCUUUGAAUGAUAAACGAGGUGGUGGUCACUACUCAACUGCUUGGUUAGACAGUGAUAGAACCAAGGUUGUUCAUCACUGAUUCGAUUUUUGUUCAACAUUGUUUGUCAGUUUAAACACUGUUCACACAAGAAUUUUAGGACAACCUAUGUGAGAUGUUGGUAUUUUUAGUUGGGCCUUCACAAGUAUUUUCUUUAUAAGCAAAUGAAUUUCAAAACGCUUUUUAUUUCACUCCAAAUAAUGGUGGUCAACUUUAGAUGAUUGAAAGAACUAUGAAAUUGACAUGUCUUAAGGCUUAUUCUUAUCCUUAUUUUUUAAGUUAUUUAUUUGGUAAUUUAUUUACUAUUUCACUUGGUUAAUAAAGAUUUAUUUUAAGUUUUUACCUUGUUAAGACUACCUAGAGAAGAUGUGGAUUUUAGCUUAUAAAUAAGCUAUUGUGCCUUUCAUUUGGGUGUGUUUUUGGAGUGUUUUUGGCUUUGUUAUUUGUGUAUCUUUUACUUUUUUGCACUCGUGUUAGGCUUUAUUGGAGAAUUUAUAUUUGAUGAAUUGUUAUUUGUGUACUAAUUGGGAUUGGUGUUGGGGCUACAACUACUUCUUUAUGUAAUGGUAGGUUAGGCUUAAGCCAAUAGGCGAUAUAAAAAAUUAUUAAAUAAAAAUUAUUCACCAAAUGUGACUUUACAGAAUAGAAUCGGUGAAUCUGAAUUGCGUUAACAAAUCUCUUGUGUUUAUAUCUCUCUUUUUUUAUUUUACUUACCGUUUGUGUUUUCUUCGAACUCAUAUCAUUCUUCAAAAAUAAUUUAAUUUUUGUAAAAAAAAUAUUGUUUAUAACUAUAUUAUAUAAAUAAUAAAUCAGAUUGGAUUCUGUUAUUGAGUUGGAGGGGUUAUCAUAGCCGGAUAAGUUUAAUCAUCAGCAAAGAUUGAAUGUUUGAAGCAAUCAUAUCCGACGCUUGAAAGGCAUCUAACAUUACAUGAAAACAAAGGUUGCUUGAACUAUUUUCCAAGUCAUCUAUCAAAUUUCAUUUACUAAAUAAUCCCAACCUCAAGUUUUCAGUUCUCACAACUUUUCGGUAUUCGAUAAUCACAAUAACAUUCAUUACAUCUACAAUCGUCCAUAGUUUUUCUUCAACAUCUCAGCAUCAAUGGCCAAAGUUAACAAGAGAUUGGCAGUUCUAGUGGGUUGCAAUUACCCAAACACCGAAUACGAAUUGCAUGGAUGUAUAAACGAUGUGGUAGCCAUGAAAGACGUGCUGGUUAAAUGAUUCGGGAUCGAUCCGACAAAUAUCGAGCUCUUGACCGAUGCAUCGGCGGCGACUGGAGAAGGGUCGUCAUCGAUGGUUUUGCCGACAGGGGAGAACAUUGAGGCAGCAUUGAGUAAGAUGGUGAGCCAGGCUGAAGCCGGUGAUGUGUUUUAUUUCCAUUAUAGUGGACAUGGAACAAGAAUUCCAAAGCCUGCCCAUCUUUUUGGACCAGAUGAGGCAAUCGUGCCUUGUGAUUUCAAUCUCAUUACGGGUAAAUUUUUUAUACUAAACUUUUAAUUUUAGUUGAAAUACAAAAUUCUUGACUUCGCAUCUUUUAAUUGUAGACGUGGAUUUUAGACAAUUAAUUAAUCAAAGGAGCAAGCUUCACAAUCUUGUCGGAUUCAUGUCACAGUGGUGGUCUCAUAGAUAAAGAAAAAGAACAAAUCGGACCUUCCACUUAUAGGGCAACUUCACCACUUUCUUACAAGGCUAAGAACAUCCCUUUUGAAUCCAUACUUGAGAACCUAACAACACUAACAGGGAUAAACACUUCAGACGUUGGUACUCAUUUGUUAGAAUCCCUUUGGUGCCAAUUCCAGCCUCAAAUUCCUCACACCUCAGCUCGAGUCCGAGUUAUUCGACUUCUUGAAGGCUGAUGAGAGGAUUUUGUUUAGUGGGUGUCAAGCAGAUGAGACAUCGGCGGACAUGAACCCGAUUGAGAGCGGUGGAAAAGCGUACGGAGCCUUUAGCAAUGCCGUCCAGAUGGUAUUGAAAGAGAACUCCGGCGGAUUAAGCAAUAAAGAGGUGGUGAUGAUGGCUAGAAAGGUAUUUCCUGAGGCCGAGCCUUAUUGAUAUUGGUAUCGACAAAUUAAAUAUCAAUUGCAACGUGAUAUUACGAUCGUUAUUUUACAAAUUCGAUUCUUCUAAUUACUAAUGUUUAACAAAAUUCACUAUAUCCGAAAAUACGUUCGUUGCUGCACUUUAGAUUCUGAUAUGAAUAUAUGUAUUUGCUUUGUGAUUCAUUUCGGGUGAAAUUGUGAAAGAAACUCUUAAUCUAUAUUUUAUAUGAAUUUGUGAAACAUUUCGGGUUGAGAUUUUUUUUAAUUAUUAUUAAUAAAUGUUGGGUAUAAUAAUAAGAUAUGUUGUAUUUUUAAUAAGAAAAUUUAAAUUCGAAUAUUAAAUAUAAUAUUAUUGAAAAAGACAAGAAGUACAAUCAGAUAAUAAGCCUGUUAUAGCAAAAACCUUCACUAACUUUAUUCAAAACAUAAUAAUAAUAACCCUAAACCCUAAUAAAAAUUAAAGCCUAAGGGUCAAAUCGAUUUCUGAAUCAUCAUUGUGAUUAGUUGCUGGCCUAUUGGCUGCAACAUUUGCCUGAGAAUUACGAGCAAAGCUCGCAAGUGAACCACUUCCGGUAACCACUCUUGAAGAGGUUGAAGGCCCUGAGAUUGCAAUUCCACCAUUGUUGUUGAUGCUUAACCUGCCAUUAAAACUUGGAGGAAGACGGUUCCUCAUAGCUAGCCUAGGGUAUCCAUGACCGGAAAGAUAUCCACCGGAUCCAAACAGUGUCCAUGAAUGUGAAGGCUUAUGGAUCAUGGAUCCUAGCCUAACCCCAAGGAUUGAUCUAUUCAAAGAUCCAUGAUAAGGGGUUGAAGAUAAGGUUGGAUAGGGGUAAUGGGGAUAGGUUGGAGGGGUAAAAGUUUGUGUUUGGAUCUCUCGAAGCCUUUUGGCUAAUGCACGCUCUUGCCUGUGGGCAUUUUGGUGUCCCCCUAAGGCUUGAGGACUAGUGAACUUUGACCUGCAAUAGUUGCAAGAGAAAGUCUUUUCGGGUUCAGGUUGGUUUUCGGAAGAAGUAAUAAUCGGGUUCGUAGGGGUGGAAAGAUUGAUUACAAUCUCUGAUUCGCGCAAUGAACGAUUAUCGUUGGAGAGGUUGCUUGAUUCAACUCUAGAUGCAUUGGCAGCUUCACUAGCCAUGAUUUUUGGUGUGAAGGUCAUAAAUGAGAGAUGUUAAAUUUAUAGUGAAGUUGAGUUAGUAAUAUCGGUUCAAUUAUGGAAAGAAAAUCUCAUUUUGUAGUGUCAAUGUGUAUGAAUUUUCCAUCUUUGAGAUUUUGUGACUUGGAAUUUCUUGCCUAUUAGGCACUAAUUUACAUACUUAGUAGGUAGAUAAAAAUCUCAAGUGGCAGAUGCUGCAAAUUCAUGCAUCACGUUUAACAAAUUAAUGUUUACACAUAUUCAUUACCAUAAAAAUAAAGAAAAAAAAUCCAGAAUAUGAAACUGUUAUGAUAAAUACAAUUUUAUACACUUAUAGAUAACUUUGAGCUUCGCAUAGUCAACAUUACUUACGCUAAUUAGACGUGUUCAUAAAUCGAGUUAUUAAUUUAUCUUUUGUCUAGUUUGAGUUAAAAUCGAUUACGAUCGUAUUUUAUAAUUUAUUUUAAGAUAAAUUUUAAUUAUACGUCAUUUUAAUUUAUUAUGAAAUAUGAAAUAUUAAUUUGAUUUUGUUCAAUUGUAUAUAAAUUUUGAUUUAAAUUCAAUUUUUAUAGAUGAUUAACACAUUAUCAAUUUUUACUUAAUACGUAUUCAAUUUAAUUGUUAUUCAAAAUAAAUAUAAUUAAAUUAAAAUCAAAUUUUAAUUAUAAUUGAAUUAACUAUGUCACAUUAUUUUAUUUAAAUUAAUAUGUCACAUUGUUUAUUAAAUAAAAAUAAAAAUAUAUAAUUUUAGGAUUUAACUGGAAUUACAAAAGUUUAUUUGGAUUCUGAUUUCAAACUAAUUUUUUGUUUUAUAGUCAUUCAAGUUUUAGCAUGUUGUUUUUUUAAUCAUCAAAUAUUUUUUGAAUUUAGUUGCUCUUGUUAAAUCAAUUGCAAUUCUUAAUUACUUCACCAAUAAAAUGCCUUUUUGGUCACUAGGUGAAAUGUUGAUGUAGGUAGAUAUAAUAAUGAAUUUAGUCCUUAAUAUUUUAUACAUUUUAUCAAUUUGGUCUUAAUUCUAAAAAUUUAGUCUGCAAUAUUUACACAUUAUGUCAAUUCGAUCCUGAUUUUAGAAAUUCAUAACAUUAUUAAUUAAAAAAAUACAUAAAAUUUUCAAAAAUUAUAAUUUUUAAUAUUUUUGAAACUUAUUUUUUUUUGUAAUUAUAAUUUUAUAAAUUUCUAAAAUAAAGAUCAAAUUGACAUAAUGUGUAAACAUUGUAGGUUAAAUUUAUUGAAUUUUUAAAAUUAGGAUCAAAUUGACAUAAUGUGUAAAAUAUCAAAGAUUAAAUUUGUUAUUAUACCUAGCCACAUCAUCAUUCUGUCUAGUGACAAAUUUAUUUUAAUGGUGGAGUGACUAAAAGUUACAAUUAAUCUAACAGGAGAGACUAAAUUAACCAAAAAAAAAAAACUCUAGUGACCAAAAUAGAAACACGUUAAAACUUAGGUGACUAUUACACUAAAAAAUACAUGAAGUAGUCAAACUUUGAUUUAAAAACAAUUAUAACAUUCGAUAUGGUUCGAGUACGCUAAAGCGCAUUAUCCUCAUAUUUAUGGGUUGAGGAGGGGCUAUGGGUAGUUCUAGACAUUGUGUCAAAAAAGAACAGACAUGAUCAGAAUCUAUAAUAAUAUUGUUCAAAAAAAUAAAAAAACAAUUAUAACAUUUACGAUAAACUCUUUUUUUUUAAAAUAUUUAUGAUAAACUUUGUUUCGAUACUCGUAUGGUUCUCACCCAUGCUUCACAUUGAGUUGAUUAUUUGUUUGUUUUUUAUUAUGGAUUAAAAUUUUGAAGUUUAAAAUAUGUUUUAAGUCCCCAUAUACUUCGUACAUUUGGAAUUUAGUCUCCUUACUUUUAUUUUUAGAAAUUUAGUCUCUCUAAUUUUUUUUAAAUUUAAAAAUUCAAGUUAUAUUGUUAUCACCAUUAAAAUUCUUUUAUUAAAUUCAGGGUUAAUAUUUGAUUAUUAUUUUUCCACUAGCAAUCUUAAAAAAUUGUCAUGUAUCUCUCUUUUUUUUAAUAUUUGUUUCUUUAAUAAUUUACAGUACUCUUAUAGGAUACUUAUCAAUCAUUUGACCCUUACAAGACACUUGUCAACUCAUUGAAAAUAAUUUAAAAAUCAAUUGAGCCCUAGUUGAAAAAUGUAAUCGAUUGUGUGUUUAAAUGAAAGUUAACAGUUAAUUGAACCGUUAUAGUUGUUAUUUCCAUUAAGGACCUCGCAGGUUGUUAACUCUUUAUUUAAUCUACACGGCGAUAUGUGAUUGGAUUAGAAUUUAUUUUAGUAUUAUGUUAAUUAAUGACAUGAAAAUUUAAAAUUAAGGAAAUAAAAUUACAAGCAAAAAAUAAAAUAAAAUAAAAACAUUUCCUUCUCGCUACUAUCGACUCACAUCACCCUGUCGUCACCACAUCCUAGCAUUUCGCGUCGACAACGCCAUCGAGAAUAAAUAAAUUAUAAUUGAAUUAUCGAGUAAUGGAAUAAAGUACAUUAAUAUUAGUAGAGGAAUGUAUUGGAUAAUAGAGAAGAUUCAAAAAUAAAUAAAUAAAUUAUAAUAUAAUAUAAUAAUAUACAAUAUACAAUAUACAAUAUUAUCAUUACUUCGCAAGCAAGGAUGGAGGUUAAUUAAUUUUCCGAAUUCUUUGCUUGCUCAUACGAUGAAAGCUAAAUAUUAUAUGGAUACUGAUUUCUUAAGUGUAAGUUUAGGAAAUAUACCUUCCUAUACCUUAUAGAGUGUUUGGGCGUUAAGUGGCUCCUCCAAAUCAGACUGUGUUGGCGUGUUGGGACCGAAACAAAAAUUUCAGUAAAGAAAGUUGCGUGGGUGCCGGGAGCUGUGGACUACAAAAUUCAAAAUGGGGAGAAUUGCUCGGACACUAUUGUGGUGGCAGAUCUAAUAAAGAAUACCUACUGCGAAAGUGAUGCAAGCAGAAUCUUGAGUAUUCCAUUGGCGAAAUUUUUGCAUGAAGGCUAUCAGGUGUGGUGAGGAGAGGCAUCCGGGAAAUAUUCUGUCUGAAAUGGCUACAAGCUUCUAUUACAAGGGACUAUGGAUCCUUAUCAUCUGUACAACCAGACUGAACAUAUGUAUUUUUACAAGAAAUUAUGGGGACAGAGCUUGCCCUCAAAACUGAAGAUUAUAGGAUGUCAUUUUUCCAUGAAUUUCCUUAGUAGUAUAGGGGCAAAAACUAAAAUUUGACUAUUGUCUAAUGUAAAGAAAAAACAGAACUAAGGCAAACCCAAAAAAAAAAGGGAAGUCAGUACAUUGAUCUUUAAGACUAUUAAGAUAUUCAAAUUAUAUAUAAUAUGAAAUAUUUUAAUCAAAUAGUUAAUAAUAUUAAUUAUAUAGACUGAUUAAUAAUAUUAUAAAAAUAUUUAUGUUAAAAAUUAAAAUAUAUAUUAAAUUUCAAAUAUUGAGAAAAGAAUUUGAAUUCCAAAUUUGAGUAUAACAAAAAAAACCAAAAUUUAAAUUUAAAUAUUUUUCAUAAUAUAAAAAAAGAGCACAUAAUGCUAUAUGGAAGGCCCUAAGGAAUGUACUUUUAUAUAUAGUUAUAUAUAGUUAUAUAGAAAACAAAGGAAGUUCCCCAGGAAUGUCCUGAGAUUUCGAUAGUUCGAAUUCAUAUUUUAUUAUGCAUAAAUGUCAUCUGGUUUCUCUUUUAAAUUAUUAUGGGUUUAAGUAUCAUCAUAUGUGGGUUCUGUCUAUAUUUAUUCUAAUCUAGAUCUAAAUUUAUUUUGUUUAUAAAUUUAUUGUAUUUUGUAAUGUGCUUGUAUUUGUAAACUCCUUUUUUUUUAAAAAAAACUUCUCAAAUUGAUUUUUUUUCUCUCACUUGUAUCUUAAUUGUUAUCAUAAUUAAAUAUGUUCAUGAGUCGGGCUAAACUUAAACAUGAUACUAACGUAUUUUAUUCCUGUUUAUGUCCGACCCGACCUGAAAUAUAGGUUCAAAAUUUUGUUAAAAUCUACCAAUAUUUAUAAAUGGUUAACCUAAACUCAUUUUAGGCCUAUCCAUAUUAUUUUUCAGAAAAAUAUUAAUUUUAAUUUAAUUUAUCUUUUAUUCAUUAAAAUUUUAUGCAUAGCCAACUUAAUAAUUUUUAAUGUUUACCUUAUAGACUAUAAAGAGAUGUAUGACAUUUAAUUUUAGUGUCAUUUAAGAUAAGAAUGAAGCUGAUUAAAAAUAAAUUAUACUAUGAUUAAAAAAUGUUAACCAAUGUCUAAGCACUAGUCGGCAUUAGGUUGUUUUAUAAUUUAAGAUUUUAUAUUAGUUUAUAUAUUCACGUGGAAUUCAAGUGUAAGAUUUUAUUUUUAAUCAUCUCAUUCGAUUCAUUAUUAGAGGGCUCAUGGAAUGGAUUGGGUCAAAUUCCGUUCGGGUUUGAGUAUGAUAUUAAUAUAUUUUAUUUUUAUCUAAGCUCGAUUCGACUCGAAAUAUGAGUUUAAAAUUUUGUUUAAACUUGUCCAUAUUUACAAAAAGUUAACAUAAGCUCAUUUUAGACCCGGUCAUAUUAUUUUUUUAAAAAAAUUUAAAAUUAUAUUAUAUUAUUAUAAUAUUUAUUAAUUUUAAUACAUCUUUUAUUUAUUAAAUUUUUUAUAUAGUCAUCUUAACAUUAUUUUAAUGUUUACAUUAGAGUAGUAUUAUAUAUUUGUAUAGAUUUAUUUUUUUAAUGUGUUCUAAAUUACAUAAUAUAUAAAAAUAAUAUAAUAUAAAGUAUUAUAAAUUUAAAAAUUGAUCAGGGCGGGUUGGGCUCGAGCCUUGACGGUUUAAGCCCAAGCCUAACCCAAAUUUUAAACUGCCCUAAUUUUUUUGCCCGAGCUCAUUUUUGGAACCUAAUAUUUUUAUCUAAACCCUCUCAAAUUUCGAACGAGCCUUCGAAUUUAAACGAAUAACCCAACCCGUGAACAAAUCUAUUCAUAAUUGAUACAUAUAUCAAAUAUUAGCUUUGAUUUAAAUUAUUGGUGGGACCAUAAGUCUAAUCCAAAUAUUUUUAAUAAAUAAAAUAUGUUUAUUUAAACUUAAUUAUAUCAAUAUAUCUAAAUAUUAAUAAAACAUUUUUAAACUUUAUUAAUAUUGAUAUGAACUUGAAGUCAAAAAAAAUAUUUUAGAGGCACAAAUUUCAGUUAUAAUUUUUUUUUUUUGAAAAAUUUUCAUUUUGUUAAGUUAUAAUUACAUAAUUUUUUAAAAGAUUAAAUUAAUAUUUUAUUAAUAUUUUUUUUUAGUUUCAAUGCAUUAAUACUAAAUAUGAUUUAAUAUUAAUAUUGUAUAAGGUGUUGCUAAUUGUAUAUAUAUUCAUCUAUUUUGUUGUGGUGAUGUUAUUUUUUAAAGUUUUAUAUGUUUUUAAUUAAUUAUAUAUUUUUUUUCGUGUUCAUUUUUUUUAGAUAUAUAUAAUUUUCGUACAUUAAAAAUUAAUUGUAUGUAUAUUUUGAUAAAUUGUACAUGUGUGUCAUGUUUAUGUUACUUUCAUUUUGUAAUAUAUUUUGUAUAGUUUGUCAUAAUUAUUCAAUUUAGAGAAAUUAUUCUUUUAUUCGUGUUAUGUAUCAAUUUAUAUCAUAUUUUACGUAAUUUGUCAUACAGAUUCAAUUUGUAGAAAAAAAAAUUAUGUUCAUAUUGUAUUCAUGUUAUGUAGAUUUUAACACAUGAUAUUUGUGUAAUGUACAUAUACUUUUUAUGACAUCAUGAACACGUGUUUUUAUCAUUUUUUAUUAUUUUAUUAUAUCUUAAAUUAUGUCAUACUUUUUAUGGUCUUUCAUGAUAAUUUAAUUUUAAUUUUAAAUUCAUUAAUUUAAAAAAACAUCGUAACACUUGUAUAUAUUUGAUUCAAUGCCUAAGUAAAACAUCAUCCCUCAAUCCUUAAAGUGGAAUAAUAUGCACUUAAUCGUACUUGAAUUCACAUCCUCUAAGUUAUUGUAAUAAUAUUAAUAUAAAUAUUAUAUUUAAAACUUUCAUUUGCUUUUUCAAAACCAAACGAUGGUAUACUCUAGAACUAAUUAUAUUUAUAUUAUUUUAUUGUUAUUAUUUUUAAGUGCAAUGGAAAUUCCUCGAUAAUUUAUACAUUUGUGUAUUGACGAGACCAUUCACUAUUUUUUGAAGCUUAAUCUCUUCCCCUAAAUGAAUUAUAUAACCAAGAGAAACUAUGAACUGGAAUAGAAGAACUUGCCCUUCCUAUGAAUAAAUAUUUCAUAGUAGACUCUUUAGACAUACAUAAUUCUUGAUGUAUCUAGAUAAUAGGUAGGAGCAUAACCUGAAACAUUUUUUAACUACGAAGAUAGUUAUUAAAUCAUUAGCACCACAUAAAAACAUUUCUCUUAGAGUGACUAUAGAUAUGAAUAAUAGAAACUCUGCUAUAGUUAUUUUUAUACAUUCAAUAUACCCUACAGGCAAAGGAAUAUAUAUAUUGAACAUAGUAAAAUAAGAAAUUGAAAGAUUUUAUUGAAAUUAUUUGAAAAUUUCCUCAAAAGCUAAUCAAAGGUAGUCAUAGGUUCUUUAUCUUUAAUAAAACAAUAAGGCAUUCUGCUCGUUACUAAACUUAUUGAAGAGAGGAAAUAUAAUCAAUAUUUUUUUAUCAUAAGUUGAAUCAAUCAUAAGAAAAAAAUUUAGGUAAAAAAUUCAAAUACAUUAUGAGGAAAAUAAAGCUUCCAUCAAAGAAAAGCAAAUGAAAGCCUUUCAUAAAAUUUCUCAUAAAACUGAGAAUGAAGUUUUCAUUCUGUUGAGCAUGACUCAUAUUUCAAUCAAAUUUGAGAAAUAAUUUUUCAGUUAAACUCUGUUUAUUUGUUUCAAUCAAACUUUGAUUAGUCUAUAUUAUUUUAUUAUUGUAACGCCCUAAAUAAUUUAAGUCUACUUUUGUGAAAUUUGGCACAAAUAUGUAUUUGCUUCAAUGGUUAAGUGUUCUGGGUGUGUGUGUGAGGUCUUGGGUUUAAGCCCCACUUUUGGAUAUUCUGUUAUUUUUUAUCCUAGCCUUAUCCCUGUUGGGUAGGUUUUUGUAAUAUUGUUUCUAAACUCACAUUAGAAUGAGCCUGCUGGUUUGAGUGGUAAGGAGUUAGCUUGCUGAAGGUCUUGUGUUUGAAUCCUUACGUAAACGUGGAUGAUAAUUUUUGUUUUGAUCGUCUGUUAGAGGUUCAGUAGAAUUAGGAGGCUGAAGUAAGUGGAUAGUGGAGUAGCGGGAAGUAGAGAGAUUAUAGGAUAAUUUUUGCCAAAAUAAUCAAAUGGUUAUUUUUUAUUUUUUAUUUUUUAUUUUCUUUUCCUCUUUCCUUCUGACGUUUUCUUCU